UUUUUUUUUUUUUUUUUUGUCAAAGGUUGGAUUAAAAUUAAAUACGAAUCGAAAUGUUUACAUCAGAAGCCAGAGUAUUAAACAACCACUCUGGUUCCAACCCAUCCCAGGAAUGACUACCCCCCAUACGCAUGGCAUAAGAUGCCACCAUAUGUGCAGCCUUAUUACAGGCAUGAGGAGUAUAUAAAAAUUCAAUAGCUACAAAUUGUUGCUUCAAAAUACUUAUAUCCCACAAGAUACCAUCCAAGAUCACCUCUGGUUGUAUACGGCCAUAAAUCAUAUCAACAAGAACCUGAGAGUCAGUCUCCAAUUGUAUAGAUGUAAAGCCUUUCGCCACACAAGCCACCAAAGCUACUCGCAAAGCUUCCGCUUCCGCCAUGAUACUCGAAACACACUGCAUAUUUCCAGUACCACCAGCACCAUUAAAAAUGCCCACAAAAUCUCUUGCCACCCACCCAACACCACCUAUACUCGUCCGACUACACCAAGCACCAUCACAAUUAACUUUCAGCGUUCCAAAGGGUGGCUUAAUCCACUGAUGCGGGGUUGGAGCUCUCACUAACUGCCCACGGGACAAAGGCUGCACCUGGGCCUCAUCACUUAUCACCCACUCCUCCCAUUGUUGUUUAAGCAAAUGUAUAGCAGUAAGGGGGUCUACGGCAACCUUCUCAAAAACCAAACUAUUACGGCACUUCCAUAACCUCCAUAAUCCACCAACCACCCAUUGUAACAAAUCACUAGCCUCUCCCUCCUUACUAUAUUUAGCAUAUAACCACUUCCAACACUCCAAAAAAUCCCCCCUACCACCUUAGUUACAUCUAAUUGCAGCGGAGAACCAAACCAGAAAGCACGGGCAAAUGGACAUUGAAAGAAAAUAUGUACCUGCGUUUCCACCUCAUUGUCACAAAAAGGACAAUUAAUGUCCAAACGAACCCCUCGCCUCUGUAAAUUCAUACAUGCUGCCAAGAUAUUCUUACACCCUUUCCAUAUAAAAUGACAUAAUUUAGGUGGAACCUUCAAACUCCAAAUAUCCCGCCAAACCAUAUCCCGAUUAUCAUCCACACUAGAUUGACCCACACCUUUCCGUCCGAGCUCUCCAUUUUUAUUCAUUUCUUGCGCCACUAUAUACCCAGACUUCACCGAAUAUACUCCAUUUCGAGUAUAAUGCCAUACCACACGAUCCGGGCAUCCAAACCGACUAAUAGGCAUACUUAAAAUUGUCUUAGCUUCAUCUUCACUGAAACAUAAUUCAAUCACCUCCCUCUUCCACAUACCCUCCAUAUCCACCAAAUCAGCAACAAAAAUAGGCAUCUCCUCAUGAUGUGAAGUAGGUCGAAAAGUUCUUGGUAUAGGCAACCACGGGUCCUUACCAAUUUGGAUACAUGUUUCGUCCCCCACACGCCAUCUUACACCCGCUUUUAAGAUUUUCCUUCCUUGUAAAAUCCCUUUCCAACCCCAAGAUGUACCUCUCCCUACUGGGGCAUCCAAAAAUGAAGAAGAAGGAUAGUAUUUAGCUUGAAGUACACGAGCCAAAAGUGAACCAGAAUUAGAGAUAAGCCGCCACCCCACCUUGGCAAGCAUAGCUAAAUUAAAAUCGAUAAUCUCCCGAAAUCCAAGACCACCAUACACCUUCUUUUGAGCAACUUUGUUCCAAGUCAUCCAAUGAAUACCUUUUUUUGUCCUUUGAUCCCUCCACCAAAAUCUUGCAAUAACUUGUUCAAUUUCCUUUGCCAGGUGGAUAGGCAAUUGAAAACAAGACAUAGUAUAUAUAGGCAGAGCAGCCGCAACACUUUUUAUCAAAACCUCUUUACCAGCCAUAGACAAAAACUGUUCCGCCCACCCAUUUAUUCGCUCAUCCAAUCUAUUCCGCACUUCCUCGAACACUUUCUUCUUCGAUGCUCCAAAAUCUGCUUGAAUCCCCAAAUACUUUCCAAACCCUUCUUGGUGUUUAAUCCCCAAAAUUUGUGAUAAUUGCUCUUUCAAAGCCUUCGAACAACCCAUGCUAAAAUGAACUGAGCUUUUAUCCAAAUUAAUGAAUUGGCCUGACCCCACCGCAUACUGUUGUAGCAAACCCUUGAUCGUGUGAGCCUCGCCCUCCGUAGCACGACAGAAAAGAACUAAAUCAUCCGCAAAAAAAACAUGUGAUAAAGGAUCGGCCUCCUCAGUUACCGACAUACCCCGUAGUCGCCCCAUCUCCUCGGUAUUAUGUAGUAAAGAAGUGAACCCUUCGGCACAAAUCAGGAAUAGAAAAGGUGAAAGCGGAUCCCCUUGUUGAAUCCCCCUUCGAGGCUUAAUAUAACCCGUGGUCUCACCAUUUACAACCACACUAUAAGAGACCGUUUUCACACAUGCCAUCACCCACUGACAAAACAUAUCAUCAAAACCCAAUUGUAAUAACAUUGCAUUCAGAAAAGCCCAUUCAACCCGAUCAUAAGCUUUCGCCAUGUCCAAUUUCAUUGCCAUAUAGUCAACCCCGUCCUCCUUCCCAUGUUGCAUAGAAUGGAGAAGUUGAUGCACCACCAGAAUAUUAUCAGAAAUUUGUCUACCCGCCACAAACGCUGAUUGAUUUGGGCUAAUCACUUUGGGGAGAACUCUCUUCAAUCUAUUUGUUAGAACUUUAGAAAUAAUUUUAUAAACCACAUUACAAAGCGAAAUCGGACGAAAAUGGCCCAUGUUCCUGGGGUUCUCAACUUUUGGGAUUAACACAAUAUUAGUAUGAUUUACUCCUUCUAACAUUCUACCCGAGACAAAAAAGGAUUUGACCAUACCUAGAACCACAGCUCCAACCGUUUCCCAAUGAUGGUGGUAGAAACCCGCAUUGAACCCAUCAGGUCCAGGUGAUUUAGUUGGAUGCAUUUGAUAAAUAGCAGCUUCAAUCUCCCCAUCCGUGACUGGGGCAACCAACAUAGCAUUAUCCACCUCACCCACCCUAGUCGGCACACACUGCAAAACUUCCCCAAAUUGUAAAGGGCGAUCCAUAGUAAAUAGGGAAGUAAAAUAAUCAACUGCAAUGCUAUUUAUUUGGGUCGCAUCUGUACACCAUGUCCCAUCUCCAGCUUCCAGGCCAUGAAGCAUUGUUCCGUCUGCGACGUUUCAAAGUUUGAGCAUGAAAAAAUCGCGUAUUUUUAUCACCUUCUUUCAGCCAUUGUACUCGAGAUUUCGUACGCCAAAAUAUUUCCUCCCUGUGCAAAGCCACUGUAAGCUCUUCUUCCAACCUUCUAAUCCGAUUACCAUUAUAUACUGGUUGUUGAUAUGCCUCACGGAGAGCUUUUUUCAACCGACAAAUUUCCUUUUGUUCAUUCCGUCCCUCAUUUUUCUGCCAUGUUAUUAACCCAUGCUUGACCAUACGAAGAUUUUGCAUGAUAUGAUAUGCAUGCGGUCUGCCAUGUAGACCACCCCAACAUGCACGCACAACCUCAUCACAUUUUGGGUCCUAACUCCAACGCGGAUCGUACAUGAACCGUUUCUUUCGCCUAGGUUGAUCCACCUCCGUUGAUAACACUAACAUAGCAUGAUCCGAUCCCUUCAACACCACGUGUUUCACAACUGCCUGUUGGUAAUUAUGAACCCACUCAUGUGUAGCCAAGACCGGAUCCAGCCUUUCCUGAAUGAACCUUUCUUCCCGUCUGUUUCUCCACAUAUAUGGAUAUCCUUCAAAUCCCAAAUCCAAUAAACUUGCAUGAACCACAAAGUUACGAAACACUCGCAUACUUGCCACAGAUCGAGCAAUCCCCCCAUCCUUCUCAGAGGCCAAAAGGAGAUCAUUAAAAUCCCCCAUUAUCAAAUAAGGCUCCUCAAACCCACGUAUUCGUGACAAUAACACCUCAAACUGUUGAGCUCGUUUACGCUCAUCCAUACAUGCAUACACCACCACCAAUCUCCACUUCAAAUGCCGGACCCUAUCCUCAAUCAGCACUUCAAUAAAAAAAUCACCAUAUUUAAUCAAAACCACAUCCUGCGCAUCCCGCCAAAAAACGCACAAACCGCCAGCAAUCCCCCUAGGCUCAAUAGCAUGCAUACACGACAUGCCGAGCCUAUGCUUCAAAAAUCGGUACCUUCGACUAUUAUUUUUUGUUUCCAACAGAGCCACAACCUCGGGGGAGUAGAGCCUAUUUUGCUCCAAAAGAUUGUCAACUGUCAGGUCCCCCCCCCCGAUACCCUGACAGUUCCAACAUAUGAGUUUCAUUGCGAGCGCGGAGACUCCUCAUAGGUAGUCUCCGCUAGGUCCACAACAGACCGUUGUAUUUUAUGCAUACGAGCCAAACCAUUUUCUGCUACAAUAAAGGCAUCCUCUUCAUCUUCCCGACUCUUUUUCAGUAUUUCCGUCGAGACCGCCUCAAUGAUGGGAAGAAGAUUAAAUGGAUCGGAAUCCUGCGAUAAAGAUCCUUGUUCCCCACCCCCACCUACAUCAGAUUCUCCAUGGAUCCUUUCAACCUUUUCUGUAAUUCCUUCCACUAAUGGCAUAUUCAAAUCAAUGUUUCGCACUUGCGGUAUAACUUCAAAACUCUCACCAUUUCCUUCAAGCUCGUCCGGGUGGCUUACCAACUCUAUGAGUCCUGCAGCAGGUGCAAUGACACCACCAGGACCAAUAAGCCCUGCAUCGAAAGCUCGCUCCCGUUCCAACCUUUGACUCUCUUUAACUUCUUCCUCCCGGGCACGACGUCCACCAACAUCCCCCCCACUCCCAUUAUAGUGCCCCCCAUUUGAUGAUAUAUUAGAGGCACUCGGCCCCCCUGAUCUCUGUAGUCCCCCUCAUUUUGCCAUAAACCAAUUUCCCCGCAAAUCAUACUUAGCAUCUAGCCCUUUAAAUGCAAUUAGAGCCUCCACUUCAACCCCUGAUGCGUCCUCUCCAAUUCUCUGUGAUUUACAUCAUCGAGUAACAUGCCCCAUCUUUCCACAAAUGAGACAAUAACUAGGUAGACCUUCAUAACGAAAAUCUGUCCACAUAGUGCCCUCCUCUGGAAAAUCCACAUUUGCUCCCCUCAUGAGCGGCUCCCGGACGUCAAAAGUGAUCUUUACACGUAAAAAUCGCCCAAUACAAUCCCUACCAUCAUCCUUAUCCACCCUAAUAACAGUCCCAAGCAAGCCCCCUAUGGCCCUUGCAACCGCCUCCGUCAUAUUUAAUGGCGGGACACCAUGUAUUUGAACCCACAUCGUGACGAAGUGCAGAGAAUCAGCCCACCGUCCUCGCCGCUCACCAUCGACAACCAACACCAAAUCAUCCCGGAACAACCAUGGCUUCUCCGCCUCAAGAACCCUACACAUAUCCCACCGUCCCACAAACCUAGCCAUAAACCGCAUCCCACCCAGAGCCCUAAUGGAGACCCCCUCUCUUCCUCUCCAUAAACUUGUGAACUGAUCAAUAAACGCAUUCUCAUUAACCGGCUUCAUAGAAAAAACCUCCGCUACAACACUGUAAUGGAACCCCAGGAGCGCACCCUCCAUUGCCUUCUUUUCAAUCUUAAUGCCACCCUUUUCCUUAUCCGAUAGUGAAAGACUCUUACCGAAUUUAGCCGUCAAACCCUCCAUAUUCUGCCUCCCUGCCAUACCACCAUCCACCGUACUACCCCGCAUCAGAAAAGUAGUCAACUGAUGGUAUCACAAAACCCUAGCAGCCGCCGCUCACUUUAGGUUUCCACCGCAACUGCAAAAUAAAACUCUUCGACUUUCUCGGACAACCUCCUUACGAGGCACUUUCACUUUAAUUAAAUUAAUUCAAAUCCACUCACUAUUGUUAUACAUUAGUCCAAAUCCAUUCUUCAUAAACAUAUUGUGACAAUUAGAGUAGGAAGGUAAAUUGUAAUUUGAUUGUAUUGAAGAUUCCUUUCCUUAAUUGGUUUUCUAGAUUAUUUAUGAUUAGGGUUUGUGCAACUAUAUAUAUUUCCUUCUAGUAGGACAAAUACCAUUGAAUUCAUGAAACCCAAUGCUGCUGCAUUGGCAGAUUGAAGUUGACCUCAUCGGAUUUGGGAGUAGGAUUUCGGGAUUUUCUCUCUUCUUUCUCCCAUCCAUUUCGGUCUUUUCCUCUCACAUAUUGUUUAUUUUCUCAUUGCCUCUAUAAAAAUAUCAAUAUAAGAUGUUAACGUGGCUUAACUGUAACCGUUCAAGUAAGAGGGGAGGGAAAGGGAGAGAGAUUAGGAGGGUAGAAAAUCCUCCUCCUCGGAUUUGGGUCCCAUCCGGAUCUAAAUUAUGGAGAUCCUAGGGAUUCUCAUAUCUUAGUCAUUUAUCAUGCAUCUUGUGGUCAGAAAUUAUUUGACUUUUUUUAAUUUAAAAUUAAACACAAAUAGUACCUGACAAAAACUAAUCGCACGAUGUACAAUGAACGGCUAAGGAUCCACAAAGUGGAUCUGAAGAGGAUCCUUUUCCGUCCUCACCAAACAUGUGAACAUUGUGGCUAACAUCACACACUCCGAGCUCGAUAGCAUCAAACCAGGGGUAGAGAUGUGCUAGCUAUCACCAAAAUGAAGCCAUAGUCAAUAAAUUAAAAAUGUGAAAGAAUUUAUACUUAAAAGCUCAAUUUUAUUGAAUACUAAAAAAUUAUCCUGCAAAUCCUACAAACAACUUCCUGACUUGGGGACACAUUAAGGUUCAACCAUAUUAUUAUCACAUAAUGUUUAGAGUAUAGCAGUAGUACAUACAACAGCUAUCACAAAUAGUGUGUAUUGUGCAUACAAUCGAAAGUCUGAACAUUCUUAUUACAAACUAGAUAAGUAGACUAAAGUUUAAUCACCCUACCGAGGUAAAAGGAUUGCAAUAUUGCCUGGCCCACUCAUCUUCAAACGUAGCCUUGGUCUUUUGGCGGUUAAAACAGAAAACCAGAGCACUUGUGUUCUUAGUGGCUUAAGCAACCGACCAACGGGAGUUUUCCAGCAGAUUUCUGCCAACCGACACCAGGGGAACUUUGCGGCACUACCACCGUAUAACGGUCACGACCAUCUCCCUGACCGGUCCCCCAUCUAGCAUACUGCUUUCGAGCGUUAAUAGGGGCACUCUUCUUCCCCAUCACUCGGCGAGCGAUCAUCUCCAUCCAACGUCCAUUUCAGCCAUUUAUCCCUCUGUGGGACAAAGAUCAAAUAUGAGUACAUUGUACGGAAGUCUACCAAGGAUGAAAUGACGAAGAAAUUAUGGUUCGUCAUCAGUAUAAGUUAUGACAAUGAAUAAAGGAAAAAAAGAAUAACAACAAAAUUGAAGUCCAACAUAGCUUACCUUUUAGAAAACCAGCAAAUCGUAAAUAGUGAUCGGUGAGUAUGAUGGCGAUUGAGAGUUCUUCUUAGCGCAAAGAAGACAUACCCACCAGUUGAAGUUCUUCUUCUACCGGAAAAGGGAUCUUUCUCAGCUAGUCAAUACAAACAAAACGAAACCAUAAUUAGAAGGCUUGUGGAAAACAAGAAUCAUAAAACUAUCACUUAUGUCGUUUCUUACCCUUUGCCCUCAAGUUUUUGGCGAUGUGAGCACUUGGCAACACAAGCGUCUAUCACCUCAACCUCGCUAAGCUCUCCAGUUGUUGUCAACAAGGAACCAAUUCUCCUUGUAGGGCCUCUAGUUAGAAGGGUUAUCGAAAAAUAGCAAGAACAAGCUAAGCAUGUGAUGGAACCCCACUUGGCCAUGACUGUUCUUAGUUUGUAACAAUGUUUAAUUACGCUGAGAUUGGGUUCUGUCUGGCGGUGCUCCAUCCAGAGCACGUACAUGCUAAGAAAUAAGUGAAUGGCAUUCGAGUUGAGCUGGUUAAAAGCUAGACCUAUAUGGGCCACAACUCUCUGAAGGAAAAGGUGAAAGGGUAGUGGAACGUCUGACUUAAAGAGUUCAGCAGAAAAAGCCACCCAACCGUGUGACGGUCAACUCGGCCUUUCUCAUUCAAUUGGUGCUCGAAGGAUAACAUCGGUCGGGAUUUAGUACCUAUUUCUCAACACCUUCAACCUUGAGGUGGUCAUAACGCUAACACCUUGAGGUGGUCAUAACGCUAACAAUGUGAUUAGCAGUAUGAUUUCGAGUUUACAUAAUAAUAAGGGUCAAUUGGCAUCCCAACCUUGUAAAGGCACGAAGGGUCGCAUACCUUUUAUUGGAACUCACAGGGAGAAGAUUUCCCAUAUCAUCCAAGUCUGUUAUAUCUGCAUGACAUCAGGCAUUCGGUGAGACCGAGCAAUUCCUCAUCGGUUAUCUCGACGACAACGGCUCGGUCCAUGGUCUAUUCUAAGUUAUCCCUCUGCAGAAGAAAAUGGACUUGUGUCUAUGCCCUGUUGAAUAAAAGUCCCCUAAGUCUAUAACUGGUGGUCGAAAAAUUGGAAUAAUGCUUGGUCUACCAGAGAGAUCCUUGAAGUCAUCGUGUUUGGCAUCUCUUUCUCGAUCAACUACUUGUAGUCUUAAGCCUCUCAAGAGUCAUUUUCCAAAUCAAAAGCGCUCGACAUUGAGCAUGCUCAGUAUCUACACAUAUUUUGGGGGUCCCAGAAAUGUGAAGUAAACUACUUUCACAUUUAGGCCCUAAUUACUAAGGAAAUUUAACAUUAUGGAUUCAAAUAAAAAAGGAUGCCUUACUCCAUUCUGCAAACUAGACUAGCUGAAUUUGAUCCCCGUCAGCGUAUUUUCACAUUGAUAACAACCCACAACAGGAGAUUCAGAGUAAAAUAUAACCUACUUAAAAUGUACCAAAGGAAGACGAAAAUAUAUAAAUGCUAACAUGAGAAAUCAAUCUGAGAGAAUUCAGAAGAAAAGGUCUGAGACUUGUGAAUGGUAAAGCUCAGGUUGUCGAACAUAUUCGCAUAGUGAAUUCGUUAGAGUUUCGAUUGAAGAACCAUAAUGAAGUGAGGGUUUCACCAUGAGGGCAAAAUUAUAUAGCCCGAGGUACUCGAUCUUAACUGUUGAUUAAUGAGAACCAAAACGACUAAAUCGUGAUACGUGGCUGCCCAUUUGCUCGAUUUUUGAAACGGAAGAGAUGUGAAACAACUUCAUGAGGUCAUGUCUGUUAGCUACGUCUUCAAUGCUGAGGUGGCUCGAUUGCGCCACCAACCUACAUCUUCAAUACUGAGGCGCCUCGACAAACACAUAUUCUCCUGACAACACUAACCCCUAAAUCAAGAGUAUGAUGACUGAUGGAAUUCUGAGCCAAGCCCUCGCAUGGGGAAUAUGAUGACUGCCAAGGCACCACAUUCUACAUAUAUUACAUAACAUCGAAGUGUCACCCCUAGAUCCCAACCAACCCUUGUAACUCUUUUCCCGAGAAAGAACCCUUGGACAAGGAGUUGGGGAAAUUGUUAACAUAAAGUCCUUUCUGACCUUGACAGACCCAAAGGAACACAAGCCCAAAGGGAUGCCAGCCGAAAGGAAUACUGCCCAAAGAAAGGUUAAGGCUUAAUGAACUUAAAAGGAUGAAGUCAAGUGCUUUAAGAGCCCAUAGCCUUUAAAUGUCUUAUCAGUAAGUAAAUCGAGCACUUCCUCAUAAAGUACUUUCCGACCACUUAGGGGCAAGUUGGUGCACUGACAGCUUUAUGGCAUGAGGUCCAAGGACAUAGGGCAUGCCUACUCAGGCAUCAACUCCACGCCAUGUAAUGGUUACUCGAGGGAACGAAGGCUAACGAAAGGACGUAAUAACUAACAGAUAAGACGCUCAGGUAUGAGUUUUACCAACCCCAAGGUCGAGCAAGGCACUCUGCCGCAUCAUCACAAGAAAACACACAAUUUAACCUACACAAAUGUCACCUCUUUACCACGUGUCGGCCAAAAAGCAGAGGGAGAACUAGUAGGUCAAAUUUGUGCACUCGGUGCACUAAAUGCAAAGGAAGUGAUAGAUUUGAGCCCAGAGGCUGAAGGUUCAGAGAAUAACCUAUAAAAAGAGGACGAGUACUCCUUAGAAAGGGUCAAACGAAUUGAGAGAUAUAUUAUACAGUAUUAAGAUAAGCCAUAUUUGUAACCUUGAAAUCUAUCUAUUCAAGAGACUUAGUGAGUGUAGUCCAAUUUUGAGGAGUGAACCACUUAAAUUAUGGUGUCCAUUUCCUUUUGUUCGCAAAACCCGAAGCCCACCAAGGGCCGACAUGCAACUAUCUUAGUCUUUAUUGACCUCACCAGUUUUGAGCGUUAACAUUUGUCCUUGAAAUUUUUCUCGAGUCCAUUUCCAUCUUGUUUUUCUUUUCCCUUCUUGCUUAAAAGCAGGCAAUAAAAAUUUUAUUUGUAAAAGAGUGAAUUGAUAGAAAUAGCAUUUAUUCUUGACCGCAAGAUCUAUUCCUAACGGCUGAAAUUAGUGGAUCUCUAAGAUACGGAGUGCAUUGUCCAGAGAUAAUCCUAGUCCUUACAUAUAUUACUAGGUGAGCCACAUCAACAAAGUUAAUGGAUGUUUGAUGAAUUUAAUGAAAACAAGUUAAAGCGGAGAAAAUUGUGAAAAAUUAAAGUAUCGACUUUUGAGUUUUAAGAGUUAAAGUGAGAUUAAAAUUGAGUUCUAAGACACGAAAGCUAAAAAUAAGACUUCCAAAAUUGAUUAAAUGCAUCACUCUGUCAAAUUUAAAUCUUGGACACCAAGACUCAUCUAUGUAGUGACUUCUUUUUGUUCUUGUUUAGGAAAACUAGUAAAAAGAGAUUGAAAACUAAGUUUUAACAAUAAGGGUAAAAUAAAUGGUAAAAUAAAUAGUACCAGGAUUGACUUUUUAGUAUAAAAAUAUGAUUUUUCGUUAAAGUAAACAAUACCGAGAGUCACUUUUUGUUUUUCAUUUUCUCAAAACCAUCCAGGGUAAAAUUGUAACACGGCCCCAAAAUGGUUGGGGGACAAACAAAUUAAACUCCAAAACAAAAUCAAGUAAAUCUACCAACCCACUAAUCACAUCCAGAUCAUUACAAUGUAUUUACACAAUUACCCCAUCUUAUUUCCCAAACUACCCUACUCCGGAAUCGCACUCAAGUCCGCCGCGUACCGCCUUUUACCCCCAUUUCCCCUCCCCCUCCUCGACCCCCCACUGGCACCAGCUGUUACCACUCUCCGACGAUCCUUCACGUCCUCGCCGGAAAAUAUCAGCGGCGACACCGAAUUCCGGCGGCACCCACAUUUCUCGCCGCCACUCUUCAUAAGCGCGGAGCUGGCUUUAACGGCCAAUGCGGCCAUCUCCUCCGCCUUUAGCGGGUGCUUGAGCCAGCUGAGUGGCAAGGCAAAGUACAGCUGGCCGGGCUGCAGCACCUCGUUACCGCUGACGGCCUGAAGGACGUCGUCAAAGUCCAUAUCGUCGGAGUUGCAAAUGAAGCAGGUGGGGUUCUUUUGGAGCACGUAGGAGACCUUUACGGGAUACGGAUAUUCUUGCAAUUUUCCGUCCUGUAGAAUCAGCUUGGCGGUGGCCACUUGGGUCGACCCGGACGAGCUGCAAAUACCCAUUUGGAUCGAAAUCGGAUCGUUGUAAAUGGCGGAGGAUUUGAGUUGCGUCUUAGAGAGAGAAAGUAGAGAGAGAGAGAUUUGUAGGAAGGAGGGAGAAGCACGAAUGGUGUUGAAAAGAGAGUGUGACUACAUAUAUAUACAGGGAGAAAUGGGGGGUGGGGGCUCGUAAUUUGAAGCAUGAUGCCACGUAGGACUUGUCGUUUAGUUAAGCAAUGUUUUAUCGAUCAAUGGGCAGGGCUUUGGCCGAAGCCAGGCUGUAAGUUGGUGGUCACAGACUCACAGGUUGUAAUCGACAUUUUAAGAGUUCUGAAUCAGGAUCCUUUACAUAAGCUGCCCUCCUGGUUGCAUAUAAUUACGAGGAUAGGGACUAGGGUUGUAGCCUGUGGUGGCACUAGCACGGUAGAGCAGUGGCUAUGCUAAUUGGUAUGUGCAUCUUUACGGUGGAAAAGGAUGGGAGGGAGUCAUGAGAUUAAUGGGAUUGCUUUUGGGUUGGGAUGGAGGUCUCAAAAUCCACGAAAAGUCUGAUACGUACAGCUUCCGUAAACCAAACGUAUCAAGUGAAUUCAACACGUGAUGACUGGUGACUAAAAUUCCAUAAUACGAACAUUCAAGUUGAAGUCGUCUUAUCUUAACAUGAAGGGUAGAGAUUAGCUUAAUUGUGAACGUUUUCUGUGUUUUAUACCCACGUGUUAGAGCGGGUUGGAAAAUGUGUUGGGGGCAGGGAGGCAUGAGGGUGCAAGUGGCUUUGGCUCCGUUUCUGUAAACACUUGCGAUCUAUAAACAUCUAGGCGGAGCCAAUGAUAUGUUUUGCUAAUCUAAUAGUUCAGAUUGUGUCCAUAUGGCAAACAAUCUUUAAGUAAGUUUAGAUACUUAUACGCAUGUAAAGAUUUGAAUUCAAUAACGUCUGAAUUUACUGCUUAUUUCAUACUAUUUUUGUGUACUAUUGGACCACUUAGGUUGGUUGGUAUUGGGAGUGAAUGAUUGCAUGCACAUAUAUCAAUUUAGUGCCCACUACACACUGUUUCACAGGCUUGAAUGCAUAAUAGUGCAGUUUCUAUAAGUAGGGAGUGAUGUCAAAGGAUGCUUGUAAAAAGGGGAAGAAUCGUUUGCUAAGCUUGGCAAGGCAUUUCAUGGAUAAUGGGACACCCACCUAACAACGACCAUGAUGGUACUACCAUUAUAUACCAACUUUUUUCUUUUGGGUACUAAUAUAUAUUAUUGUAUGGUUCCAAUUAUAUUUCCCACUUUUCCUCUUGUAUUUUGUGGGAAUUUUUUUUGUUUUUUUGUUUUGUAAAUAAAUUCUUUGUUUUGCAACUCAUUAUAGUAUUUACUCUCAAAUUUCCAAUAAUUCUUUUUUUUUAAAACAAAUAAUAUUAUGUGCACUAAAGAUGAGAGAUAGAAUUAACCAUGGAAGAUAUCUUAUAUUUAUUUUUAAAGCAUAAAAUUUAAAAGUAUUGCAAUCGUUGGCUCUAUUUGCUAUACAAGUAAGGAUAAUACUUGCAUUCUUCCUUUGAUAAUGAGCUCAUUUCUUCAUUUGCAAAUAAUGUAUCUUCACUGUAGACAGUGUCUUACCUUUCAUUUGAAGAUCAUUCCUACAAAAAUUCUCUUGAAUCGGAUAUCGUUUAGUCAUUCAAAUUGUAUCAAACAAACCAACAAUGUAGGUACCAAGUGAUAAAUUAAUGGCGAACCAUCCAUUUACUUGAUACAUUUGAUGGACUAAACGAUCUCUGUUUUGAAAGAUUUUUGUGAGUAUGAUCUUCAAAUGAGGAUUAAGACAUUGAACAAUUAUGAUUAUAAAGUUUCUACGAUAAAGACACGUUAUUUAUAAGUGGGGAAUGAGUUCAUCCUUCAAGAAGGGAAUGCAAGUAUUAUUCUAAAAUUAAAACCAGAAAACAGAAAUGUAAAGACCAUUGGAUGGCAUACCAAAAAAGAAUUUUUAAAAGCAAAUCCUCGAAUAGUUUGGACUCACAAAAGAUGUUAGAAACGUAGAAGUGAAAUUUUAACCUUCCUUAGCCUUGAAGGUUCUUUUGGGGAUCCUUAGAUGUUAGAUGAGAGGUAUAUGGCCUUAUGCUACUGUGCUAGUUUCCUCUUUUACUUAUCCAAUUCUACUUUUUGUAACCUUUGGAUUCCACUAGGUUAAAAGAACUUCCGAGUAUUUUUUUCAAAUGGAAGAUGAAGUCACAAAAGGCUUCUCCUCACAAAGUUAGUCCUGCAAAUAACAGAGGAAAGAUGAAAAACCAUGCAGAUAUUUUGUGGAGAUAUAAGUAUACGAGAGUGGCUUGUACCUUACCAACUAGACAUCUAUGCUUAUUUUUUACGUAAUUUGCGUUUACUAACAUAUAAGAAAAAAAAAACGUAAGUAGGUCUCACGUCCCUCUACCACAAUGUGAAAAUUUUCAAAGACAGUCUAGGUAAUCUUACCUCUAUUUUAAAGAUUUUUAUAAUUUAACUUUAGAGUGAUAGAGCAUUUUUAAGUGGGGUUAAAGAACAACCAAGGGCCUCAAGAAGGAGAGAGACUUAUCUACAUUGUUGUAUGAUAAAGUUACACUUCGUUACCAGUUUUAGAUAUAAUCACGAUUAUGCUUUGUUUGGUAAUCUAAAAUUUACACAAAAUUGAAAAUCGAAAACAAUUAGAAUUUCUUCAACCAGUGUAAGAUAAUCUUUCUGAAAACUUAAGUCACCAAAUGAAUUAUGGGUUCGAAAUUGAAAAAUAAAUGAUUGUCAAACAGAAAAUUCUCGAUUAAUCCUGGCAACAUUGUACAUAAGACCAAAAGUAAGAAAGGUCCAAAAUUUUGAUUCUAAUUGCGAACCCCAAUAACAAAUCGAAAUUGUGACAUACAAUUCACAUUGCUAAAACUCCAAUAAUUCACAUGUCUGAGAGGACUCAUGUCACUCAUCAUCUCCACUCCACUCCCCAGACAAAGACUGCAUGCAGAUUGCAGGUGAAUUGUAUUCUUCGAUGGGAAUGGGGUAUUUUAACAGAGACAACAACGGAGGGAGUGAAUAAUUGGAGAUUGAGUGGCUCAUGAAUUUGCAACGCUUGCUUUUGCACUUUGCAGGCACAUUAUUGAUAUUUUGGCCCAACUCCAAGGGCACAGAAUAAAUUCCAAUAGAUAAAAAAAUAAUAAUAAUAAAAGAAAAAAAAAAAAUAUAUAUAUAUAUAUAUAUAUAUAAAGUUGGAAGAAACGAAUGAAUAAGAAAAAUGGAAACGUGGCGUGGUGAGGGAGGAGGUGGUGCAUCGCUGCAAAGCAUGAGGGAAGGCACGUGGAAAAGAAUAACCUUGAAAACUGCAACAAGUUACCUAAAAAUAAUAAAUUUAAACACUCUAUUCAUUUGGUUCCAAUAGUAUUUUAAAUUGUCAUUUAGUAUCACAGUCUAGUAGAAUUCGUUUGAAAUUUUCAUUUUAAAAGACGCUUCACGUUCAAUGAAACUCUUCUACUAGAAGCACAUUGAAAUUUUUAGUAAAAAUAAAAGUGUUCACUAGAAAAGUGCUUUGAAGAUAAAGGCACUUCUAACUUUUUCGGUUAAAAAAAGUAAGAAUCACUUUUGGUGAUCUAAAGUCAUUUAACUUAUUGUAAAAGUACUUCUAAAUACGCUUAUUUCCCUCUACCUAUAAAUUUCUUAAAUUUGACUUCUUUAUAACGUAUUAUGGCAAGUCUUAUUGUAUGGCUUAACCCAACAUCGGCUUCUUUACUGUAAAUAAUAUAGAUAUUAUUGCAAGUUAUUGAAUUAAGUGUGCGACAAGGGGUGGCGUAAGGUGAUCUGGGUGUGCUGGUUUGCUCCCCGACUGUGCCUGCAAUCUGCAUGCUCCCAUGCAUGUAUACUGGUGCAAUGCAACCCUCCUCUCUUUUAACUUAUUCAAUAAGCUUCCAAAGUCCGCCUCCCUUUACUGCUUCUGCGCUUCUACUUCCCCGGCCACUCUUAUCAUCCUGCAAUCCACAAACCUCCUCUCUUUUAACAACAAAUCUUGUAUAUAUUCAUGACCUAUACUUUGGCUACUCAAAGGAUGAGUAGGAGUUUUACUUAAAAUUGUCCAAUGUCAAUUUACAGAACUUUGUGUUUAUGAUCGGAACCGUUCAUGUUAUAAAUCAUUAUGUAAAAAUCGCCUCUGCAAAAAAUCAAUUAAAACUAGGUUUGUUUAGUCAUCAAAUUGUACAAAAAUAGAUGAACAUAAUUGGUAAAAGAAUUAUAGACCGUCUAUGUAUUUGCUACACUAGAUUAACUAUACAACCUUAGUUUUAAUUUAUUUUUUGCAAAAGAUGAUAUUUACAAAGUGAUUCAUAAUAUAAACAUUUUGAUCAUAAGCACAAAACUUUGUAAUUCGAAUACGAAGAAUUUUGAGUAUGAGCUUUUACUCAUCCUUGAGUAGUCAAGCAUUAUUCUGUAUUUAUUAAUGUUGAUAACUAUGAUGUUGUCAUAUACUGUUAUUGUCGUUGUCCUAUCUUAUCGUUUAUGUUGUGGGAUUAUGAAUCUAUACUAUUCAUCAUAUUAAAGUUAGACAAUUUAAUGACAUAACAUAUUAAAUUCAACUAUAAUCUCUUCUCAUCCCUCGCAUUGAACCUAAAAUAUUGAUCGAGCGGACUUUUAAUUUAAUGCCUAUAUCCAUAUAAAUAAUCUAGAUUCAUUAGUGUAAUGUACCAUAACAUGUCAAAUACUACGACAAUAUAACAUUAUCAUUCAUCACAUGUGAAACUAAAUUGUUUGUAAGUUAGAAGUUUAUUUAAAUGGUGUGCAUGGAAGCAAAAAAUUCAGAUUUACAUACAUAAUUUAACAACAUAACAUGUCAAACCCUGCAUCAAUUAGGCAUGUUAUAUAAAUCCAUUGGCAUUGAAUUUCAAAGACAUUGUUACAUCAAUACUUUGACUAAGGAUGUAAUUAUAAAAAAUUUCACAAUCUGGAUUUUUAGAGGGUAAAACUUGAAGUGAAAGUGUGGUUGGAACUUGGAGGAGAAGGUUGAGUUUCUUAAUUACUAAUAUUACAAAUUAUUCAUGUCACAGUAAUCCUACAUAAAACACAUCCAAAUCACACUUAAUUUCAACACAUUCUUCAACAACAGAAAACUAAACAGGAAAUCUAAGCUGGAUUUCUUCCAUUUUGCCAUGCAUGCUCAUGUUCUCUUUUUAUUUGGGGGGGGGGGGGGGGGGGGGAGCUGGAUUUCUUCCAUUUUGCCAUGCAUGCUCAUGUUCUCUCUUUUGUUGGGGGGGGGGGGGGGGAGAGAGAGAGAGAGAGAGAGCAAAGAGUAGCAAAUAAUUGAAAUAAUAUAUUUAGUAUGAACCUGUCUGCAAAGGGUUGUAACUCCCGACAAUACCACACAGACAAUGGAGUUCGUGGAAUGUGAUUGUUCUUUCUUAAUUGUUUUUUACAUAUGUUAAAUAGAACAAAGAGCUGGCUCCCCCCUGUAUGCUUAAUUUUUUAUUUUUUUUAAAGGGGGACAAUUGGUGGCAAGCCACAGUUAUCUAUCCCUUUUAAGGGCCGAGAAGACUCACAGAGGCAUUUCAGCCUUCUCAUGACCACAAGUCUAGCUUCCACACCAAUAACGGAUUUCUCUUGUAUGCUUAAUUAAAUUUAAUAGUUGAUACACCCUAAACCGCUAAACCCCAUACUUUGUCAGAAUGAUUACUAACUAAUUGUUCUGGUUUGAUUAUAAUAAUUAUAAUUAUGAACUUUACUUUAUGGGUUCAAUUAUUAAUGUCCCCGCAUCAAUUCCCUAACUUUCCUUGAAGCUUCUUUGUGUUCUUCAAACUCUCCAAUUCCCCCACCAAAAUCUCAAAAACAAUCAUGCAUGUAUCCCUCUAAAAAAAAAUAAGGGCUUCAAUCAUGCACUUUUUUACCUAAAGAAAUGUCUAACACCCGAUGCCUUUUGUGCUUUUAAUCAUUUUUGCAACAAAAAGCUCUUAUUAUUUGAAAAAUGACCUUUUCUGCUCCUUUCUCACCACCCUGUCCCUCUCCCACACAAUCUGGCUGGACUUUUGGUCUUCAUGAGCCCAUGCAUAACAAGCAAGAGGCUGUAUAUGUUGGGCUCUAAUUUCACUAGAUCUAGACCCAUAUUAUAUUAAAAGCAAGUAUUCAUUGUGUAAGACGUUUUUUGUUGAAGAGAGGACGUGCUACAAUGGCAUCGACACAUUACUGCUCACCCGUUCUUUAAUAUGUGUUUCAUAGUCGGUGUAUAUGAAAAAAAAAAUAAUAAUAAAUAAGAUUAUAUUCAGACUCUCCGUUCGUGCCAUGUCUGGACUAUUUAUAUAUAAAAAGAAUAUAUUCAGAUUCAGUAUCAAUUUUCUAAUAAGAACUAUUUCUGUAUGAAUUAUGGGACUUGCACUCUUUUAAUUUUGGUUGGACAUUUUUCUUUCUUUUUUUUGGUAAAUCAAUUGAACUUUGAAGCAGACAUGUUGGCAACACAAACAAUGAACCCCACCAACCGGAUAAAAACAAAUCCUACUAAAUUAUGUGUGUAUUAUGAAUUCAGACAAAACCUGGAAAAGAAUCUGAUCUAACUAAUACUUGAACCCUAGUUUGAAGAUUAGAAAUAAACUUUUAAAGGUUGGACAACAUAUCGCUUUAACAUUAUUUUUAAAGGUAGGGCAACGUCAUUACCAUGAAAGUUCUUGAUCCACAGCACUUUAUCCAUGCAUGGCUGUUUGGGCCCCACCUCUCGUUAGCCCCUUAAGAUUUGGAAAGUCUUGAGCUUUGGUCAAAUUGGUUCUGAAAUCUGCAUUAUCAAAGAAUACAAAGAAUGCGGUACUAAAUAGUAAAUAAUUGAACAGAUUUUCAACAAAUACAAAGAAUUUUUGUCCCCUACUCGUCCUAUGAAUUCGACAAGAUGAUUGAGAUCACUAAAAAUAUAGCAGAAAUGAGAUACCUUGGAUUGGAUGUGGCUUUCCUUCUUCUUUCCUUGCAAGAUUGUGAUCUUGGGUUUUGUUUCUUGUGUUGAACUGCAGCAAAAGGAUUGGAUAAUGCCCUUAUCUCUCUUAGUAAAUCUGAAUAUACAAUCUGGUCGAAGAAAAAGGAGCAUAAUGUUCUUGUUAAUACUUCAUAGUAUACUUACUUUGCAUCAAUUCAAUCAAACUUGUAUGGAAGUUUUAGUUGUUCCCAUCCGUCUGUAUAUUAUAUUACUAUCAGCUGCAGUUUGACGUGAAUCUCUGAAGGAGAACAGAACAGAUUAUUAUUCUCAAGAAAAAAAAAGUACAGAAAAGGAAGAUAGCUGGUUAAAAACUUAACUACAGAACUUCGUGACCUGUAUGUUGUGUGCGUCACAAUGCGCUUUUCACAUAUUUUGAACUCGCCAUCUAACUUCAUUGGCAACGACCAUGAUGUAUCAAUUGGUAUUAGGUUCUUUCUGCAUGGUUGACAUGUGCUCGAACAAGAAAUCAGCAGCAAUUCAGGUGCUCAAGCUCCAAUUUGUACACUUAAUCAACACACCUGAAAGGAAGAAACCUGUUUGUAGAACACAUUUCUACUUGUUACAUAAUCAUAUGUUGUAUAUCCUACUAAACUUAAGAACCCUAAGGAGCUGAGAAUGGCCACAAGCACAAGGUUAAAGGCUUGUCUGUAUAGCUUCACUUCUCCCGGAGGUCCAAUGUACCCCACAAGAGCUGUUCAUCAUGCGGCAUGGGAUGAAUUAGAUUUGCCCUUUCCUGUUGGCAGAUACUCUCAGCAUCUUAUAAGCCUGUUCUUCCGAUUGAUAUAUCCUUGGCACUGGCCCGCUUCUUGUUGGAAUUUCAUAAUGGAUUGCGUAAGGGCAGUACUGUAUUCUCUGUUAGGAUUAAUCUACUCAAGUUUGGAGAAGCUGAGAAAGCCAAAGUUUUAAAAUGCUGCAAAUUUCGAUAGUCAGUAACCAAAAAUUAAGACCUACAUUUUUCAUGUCGGUUUGGACUCUAGAGUAGUUAAUGACUUCACAUUUAAACAAAAUAAUCUUCUUGAACUCCAAAAUAAAGUGGUUAUUUUUUCAGAAAUUAAUUUGAUUUUCCCUCGAACGGGUUUGGUAUGAAAAGAACAUGCAAUCAGUGCCUGCUUGCAAGUAAUUACAUGUAAAGACAAUCAAAAGUGUGAACAAUUAUCAGGGUUUUAGAGCAUUCUAACUUACUGGUACAGCAGCACGACAAUUCUUCUAUACCCAAAAAUGCAUUUGGAGCAUACCGAAUGGGCCUCAGAUGAUCAGUAAUUGAUCCAGAAUGGAGUAUAUACUGCUUGAAGUUUUACGUCUCUUGUUGUCAACCAUAAAUUCAUAAACACGGCCAUCAAUUUCGAUCGAGCUCAUUGCUCCUACUUUAUGGAUCCACCGUCUUUUAUUAGUUUCCCAAUGAUCUUAACAUCUUCCCAUCUGUGCACUUCACCAAAUAUGUUUGCUAGAAGUACAUAAAGCCCAGAACCAUGCGGUUCCAACUCCAACAGCUGCUUCAGAAUUAGCUUUCCCAAAUCCACAUUUCCAUGGAUCCUAAAAGCACCAAGCAAAGCAUCCCAAGUGACAACAUCAGGCUUCAUAGGCAUUCCUCUUACCAGCCUCAUUGCUUCUUCUAAAAGUCCCACUCACCACAGCAGAUCAACCAUGCAAGCAUAGUGCUCAAUUUCAGGUGAUAUUCUGUAAAUAGACUUCAUUUUUUCAAAAUAACAUCUCCCGAAGUCAAGAAGACCACUUUGACUACAAGCAGAAAGCAGUGCGAUGAAGGUCUCAUCGGGCCAGAUUCCACCUGCUUGCAUAUGUUUGAAUAUCACGAUUGGUUCUAAUCCAUGACCGUGCAAUGCAAGGGCCUGGAUAAUGAUGUCCCAUGAUACGACAUUCUGUUCUGGUAUCUGAAAAAGAAUAUACAAGGCAAUUCCAACAGCACCGCAUUUUGCAUACAUGUCUAUCAGGGAAUUAUAAAGAGUUACACUGGCUGCAAUAUUGCAGAUGCAAAUGUAAUUAUGGGUUUUCCUUCCAAUAACCAAAUUGCCAAUUUGACUGCAAGCUGAAAGGACGUACCAAGGUAGCCUCAUCGGGCACCACACUGGAAUUAAGCAUUUUCUGGAAAAGAUCCAAAGGCACCCUGCACUGGCCUUCUCGGACAUAAUUUGAAAUCAUUGAAUUCCAAGAAACUACAUUUUUCUGUGGCAUCUGGUUGAAAAACUCCUCAGAAAAUUCAAUGAGCCCUUGUUUAGCAUAUGCUCUAACCAUUGACAUCCAGGAAACCACAUUUUUGUGAGUCAUUUGAUCAAAAAUCGUUCAUGCCAAGUGCAACUGCCCACACUUGGCAUACAUAUCCAAAAGAGCAUUUCUCAUAAUUUGAUUAACUUCAAUCCCACUAACCCCAAUAAAAAGAUAGAUAUAUCUUCCCAGUUCUAAAUCACAAGCUUGUGAACAAACAGAGAGUAAAGUAACCAAGGUGAACUUAUCAGGCUCAACCCCCAAUCUCCAUUCUCCCUAAACAAUAAAAAAGCUUCCUCCCAUGAACUCGUUCUAGCAUAUCCACUGAUCAUCGAAUUCCACAAAACCACACUCCUCUCAGACAUAUCAUCAAACACAUUCCGAGCGCAACUGAACAACCCACAAAAUCUGUAGAGAUUAAUAAGGGCAUUUUGCACGCAAACUUGAGACCCAGUUCCUAGCUUAAUACCCUAACUGUGGACAACCACGGCUUCCCAAUAUGCAGACUGCCCCACGCAAACGUUGAGCACAAGGGGCAGCGUGAACUCGUUCGGUGAGAGUCCUGAACCAACCAUAUGGCAGUGGAGUGAAAAAGCCUUAAAUGGGUCAUCACUAUUCGAGUAACCCCUUAUCAGACUAUUGUACAUAAACUUAUUUAGUUUAGGAUUUUUGUGGGACACGAGCUGGGCGUAAAGGGGAUUUCCGGAAUCAGAGACGGAGCAGAAGGAUAUGAGUUUCCCUGACGGUGACGUUUUCGUUUGUGAGGCUGAGGAUGAUUUGGGCGUGGAGCUGUUUGAGUUCUUUCAUGGAGGAGCACUGCUCUAGGAGAUGAUGCAGGGUUUGGUGUGUGGAGGUCUUGAAUUUGUGGGUGAAAUUGGUGGGAUUUGGAGGGAGAGUGGUUUGCAGAGAGUGAAAGAGGCGGGAAGCAACGGUCGGAUUUUUGGCGGUGAAUAACAUGGCCGUUGGGCUUUAGGUUUGGGGGUAAAUGUAACGGUUUUAUGAAUUAUAAAUACCAAGUAUUUUUUGUUCAGUUGAAAAUAUCAUGUUGCAACAACUGGCCCUUCACUUGUACGGAAGGUCUCGAAACUCACAUGAAUUAAAUAAUACUUCCCUAGUGAAUAUGAAUCCUUGACGAUGUGAAUUCUUAUUUGAAUGUAUGAUUCAGAAUGACAGUCUAAUAACAACACGUGUCGGAUAUAAAGAAAAUGUAGUCCACAAUCAUGCCGUUCAUAAUGCUAGUGUAAGUUCAACUAAACAAGAUGACUAUUAUGUACAGGUUCAGGCAAAUAUGGUUACAGAAGGUGUCACUUGCAUUUCUUAAGAGUUAAGGACCAAGCCCCGAAGACAACAUUCGACUUGCAUCUAUUAAGCAUAUAGCUAGCGUUCCUUCUAAGCUAGGAUCAAACUCGUCCUUUGAGUAUGAUUGGGCCUCGCAGUGGUAGAACCUAGUGAACCAUACGUACCACUUCCUAACCUUCUGUGGACUGGACCUUGCUUCUCGUAUGGUGAGGGGGACGACCAGCCAAAUUCACAUCAGAAAUCGACAACAUCAACACAAACAGUUUCAAACCUAAAUUUUACUAAUUACAAGUAAAUAAAAUGAGAACUAUUUCUUUUUCUUCAUAAAAUACAAUUCAACAGAAUAACCUUGUAGGUAUACUUUUCUUUAAGUUUCGUCUCAGAACGACCCUAUCUAUAUCUCCCAAAAAUAUCUGUAUAUGGAUGCGAUUGUUCUAACUCGGUGGAGCUCAAUUGUUGUAUAUGACAACAACCAGCAGGACCUUUACAAAGAAGCAAGAAGCCAGAGAUUGAACAGAGAGGAACCUAGUGAAAGAAACCAAGACAGGAAAGCCAUGGCAGCAGAUAACUGAUAUCUAGUACAUAACUUGGCGGGGCAGUAGGAUCCGUCGAGAUACAGUAGGAGAUUUGUGGUACUAGCGGUCGUGCAAGCUGCAGCGAGUGAGAGAUACGACAACGCCUGUGAUGAAACGAACAUAAUAUAGUCUUAACUUAAGUUGGGAAAAGGAAGAACAUGUUAAUGGGAUAAAUAAGUUUAUAGACAAAAACACAUACCAAGUCUCCUAAAAUAAUUAUUAUAAUUAUUCUUGGUUGAUGAUGCAAACAUCUAAAGAAGACAGAGUAGACAUCAACGAUCACCAGAGUCAUGCUCCACGGAACUACCAAACCCAUUACCGUCACCAAAUAGCUGCAACACCAACCAAGCAAUGGUAAGAGUUACUACUGUUACUAGAAGAGUUUCUGGUGGAUUACAUUCGUCUCCUUCAUUGUUGCACACUAGAAAAAACCGAGACAAAACAAAUCUGACAACGGCUAACAAACAAUUCAGAUAGCACCAUAUAAUCCCUUCAGUUUACAGGUUAGCACAUGAAAAAAACAAACAUUGUUAGCAAAGUGACUUGAAUUUGUUAGGUUUUAUAAGUUGAAAAGUUCUUAAUUACUAAAAUAUAUACCCCUACCCCAGAAGACUCUUUCAGAGAAGGCAAUAUUUUAUAGGGUUGAGAACACACGCCAUUAAGGACAAGUGCAGGGUGAGGCUAUACAUUAGAAGUACAUUGGAGAAAGGCAAGCCGCACAUACAGGUGAACAGGGCUAGACUUCUUUGGACAUAUCAUUAGAACAUAAGUUCUCAAAGACUAAGUCAAUGACUAGAGAAACAUUGACACGAACAGACGUGCAAAAUUAGCCUUGUGAGAAAAAAAAUAAAAAUUCAACUAAGAGCAGAUGAAACAACAUGAUUUCCGAUAUGGCAACUGGUACUCCUUUUUCGGAGCUUUAAUGUUUACACUGUAAUGUUUGGAGGCUGAAAGAUUUGGCUUCCAAUUCCCGAUUCGGGAGCUUUUUUUUUUGCAAUUCAGAUUCAUGUCAAACAGGCCAUAAAAUGGGUAAAUUCUAUCGAGCGGUUUUUUGAUGCUCUAUGAUGUUCGAAUUAGACUUCAAAGCUGCUAAAAACUAAAACUAUCACAAUCCCUGGCUUUGAUUCAAACAUAGAAAGUAAAACUUCCCAUCGACAUAGUUUCUAGUGAAGAUACCCGAAAUUCGAUGGUGAAUUACAGAGUCUUGAACAGUUCCUUCUAAACAAAAAGUUCAAUAUAUUUACUUGCUCAAUUAGGAGGAACUUAGAAACAAAAAACAUGUACUAAAAAUCUUCCAUCAAGUCCAAGUAUAUAAUAUUUUGCACGUAUAAAAUAGAGUUAAAUUUAAACCAGUACAAUCUCUAUACGAUCUUUUCACAAAUACAGUUUCCAGUUCUUGAGAAAACCAUAAGGCAAUAUCCAGCUCAAGAAAUCAAAACAGAAUUUCCAUCAAAUUCAAAAACAGAGACAUGGGUAUUGAAGAACAAAUCGAAAUCACAAAAGGGUCGGAUGAAAUUCAACUAAAACCUCCAAAAACUCCUAAGUCGAAGAAUUCGAAAGUACCAGAAGGCGGUGUAGCUGUAGAACUCGACGUCCAAGCACAUGAAGAGAAGAGAGGCAGUGGAGAAGAUGGUCUGCCCGAAUCGCAGAGCCAAGCUGGCACUGGUUCCCAACGACCCCGGCAGUUCAUCCAUGCUUGCAAUUGCAUGCAGCUGCAGCCGCAGCAAGAACUCCUCAUGGCAAACGAAAUUCAAGAACAAUUCUUAUCAGCCACAUGACCAAGUAAUUGUGAGAAAAAUGGAGUUCUAAAUAAUUGUGGGGAAAUACGGGGAGGACUUGCUGUGGAGGGAACAAUGGCAAUGGGAAUGUGAAUCGUUGUGGUGAAUUGUGAAGGAAAAGGAGUGUUCGCGGACAAAAGAACAGAAAAGUGAAAGGGACGUAAAGGGUACGCAGAUUUUGGUGGGUUUUUGGCUUUGGCUUUGGCAUCUCCUCCUUCAUGAGGGCAGAAAUGGUUUAAUGUUCUUCUCCGGCUGGUAGCGAUGUGUGGUGGUAAUAAAAUGCCAAACAUUUUAGGCCACACUUAACGGAUGUGACAUUUUUAACAAGUUGUCUACAUGUUUUGGAUGUUUAAAAAAAUUGAGAUCAAUUUCAAAUGAUAGUAAAAGGUUGGGAACUUUAGGGUUUGUUUGGUAUCCUAUUUGAAAAUUUUUAUAAUUUCUCAAAACAUUUCUUAAGAAUUUUUCUUGAAAACAAUUUUCUUUAAGACUCAAAAACUUGUUUGGUAUGUGAUUUAAAAUUUUUAAAUCUUACAACUAAAACUGGAUAAAAAUAUCCAUAAAAAGGAGGUCGAGAGAGAAAGAGGAGAGAUGAGGAAAGAAAGUAAGAGAUGAUUAGAGGAAAGAAAGUAAGAGAUGAUUGGAGGAAAGAGAAAAAAGUGAGAAGAUCGGAGGAGAUAGAGAGGAAGAGGAGUGAGAGAAAGAAUCGAGAGAAUGAAGAGAACGGAUUGGAGGAGAGACGAAAAAAGUUAAAAAAAAAAAAAGAGAAAGGGAAGAGAGAAAGAAGAAAAGAGAGAUAUAUUUGGAGUGAGAGGGGAGGAAGGAGAAAAAAGAAAUGAGUGAGUUUAAGUUUAAAAACUCUAAAAACUCUAAAAACUCACUUUUUAUGUUUUUAGAUAAUAAACUAUUUUUGAGUUAGUCUUGAGUUCAGUUUUUGAAAAUAAUCCUACCAAACAAGUUUUUAAGGCCUAAAACUUGAAAAUUGUUUUUGAGUUUAAAAAGUUGAAUUCAAGUAGAAUAUCAAACAUGCUCUUAAGUUCUUAAUCUUUUUUACAUUAUUAAGUUUAUUAUAAGCAAUAUUACUACCAUAUCCAUAUUAAAGGAGGGUACGACUCCGAACACUGUAAGUUAAGAAGAGGAUCUUAACCAUCAAGAAAUAUUUAUAUGGCACAUGUACACUAGCGCUACGCGCCAAUAGAAUAAGAACAUAAGUAAAUUUUUGUCUCUAUAUUCUUAUUUUGUUAGCACAAAAAACCAAUAACCGUACUCCCAACCAUGAGGGUGAUUCCAAAAAAUUAUUAAGUGGGUAAAAAUAAUAAGUUUCUUUUCCUCCUUUUCUUUUUCCUCAAUAAGGUUCUUUGAAUCAAAGUGUAUAAAAUAAGGGAAUCGGCCUUAAAUUUGCUAUUAUAUUAUAUGUCAUUGUUUUUCCUUUUCAUGAUUAAUUGCCGAGUGUAUUUUAAUACAUGUCGAACAAAAAUCUGUCUAUAAAAAGGAAACUGAUCGGGGCAGGUCCUCAACUGUAAAUGGACGUUCUGAUAUCGUAUAUCAUCAUGUUACUUGAAUUAAAACGAAUAAACUAAUAUAAACGUGAGAUGAGAUUCUACUUAAUCACUUUAAUUUGAAUUUUUACACUCAUAAUUUAGAUCAGUUUAAAGUGACAGAUUACUUUUGAAAACAAAUAAACAAACUAAUUGUUAUCAUAUUCAAAGCACCCAAAUAACAAUAAAACAUUGACUAAAAAAAAAAAAAUGAAUAACAAAGUAGUAUAUUACGAAACCCUACGUACUACUAGUUUUUUUCUUUGUUGUUUUUAAAGUUUGGAUAACAUUAAAGAGAUCAAAUUUUUGAAUUAAAUUUGUAAAGUAACUGAUAUGUCACAAAUAAAAAAUAAGCAUGUUAAUCGAUACUUAAUUAGUAAUUCAAUUAUCUAUAACCACAUUAUUUGAUUUACAAAUUUAACGUUACCCUUAGGGUAUGUUUGUUUGCCUUCACUAGCAUUCCUUGGACUGGACUAGACUAAAUAAUAGUCCAGUCUGGUGUUUGUUAUUUACACGGACAAGCGUUAAUGAGACUAAAGAGGACUCGCCCCGACUGAACGCCUCGCUAGCCGUUCUUAGCGAGAGCCCUCGAUUUCGAGCAGACUCCUAGUCCCGUCCUCCGCUGAUCCAUCCGUCUUCUUCUCCUUCGUACCUUUGCCAUCUCCCAUCUCUUUCACGACUUCGCCGUCUCAUCCGAGUUCGAGCAGGACGAGGAGGUUCUCAGCGACGACGGAGAGGCCUCUUUUGACCUCAAACUCUUCGUGGGUAACCUUCCCUUCAGCGUCGAUAGCGCUCAGCUUGCUAGUAUCUUUGAGAGCGUUGGAAAUGUCCAGAUGGUCAAGGUAAUUCCUUGUUUUCACUCGAAAUUUUGUAAAUUUUACUUGAAAUUUGGGUGAAAAGUGAAAUCGGUUGUUGCUGGUUUAGUGUUUUGUGGGUUAAAUUUGGAAGGUUUUUAGCAGGUGAUAUAUGAUAAGACGACCGCAAGAAGUAGAGGAUUUGGGUUUGUGGCUAUGUCAAGUGUUCAAGAAGUUGAAUCUGCUGCUCGCCAGCUAAACGACUACGUAAGUCUGACCAUUUGCUGAUAUUUUCUUAUAUAUGCGAAAGUUUGUGAUUUGCGAAUUGGUACUUUAUUUGUAAUCGUAUUUAUACGAACGGGAAUCUAUUUUGAGAGAAAAUGGAAAUUUUUUGACAUUUUCUGCCCUGCAACUUCCAUGGCUGCUUGAGCCAAGUAGGAAUAGAGAACACAGUAAGAAGUCAAGUGGUAACUUGAUUCCUGGAAAGCAAUAUGUCAGUGUAAGAACACAGGCUCUAGUGACCAUUCUGUCCUGGUUGGCGAGAAAUGGUUUUGCUCCUACCGACAAUGUGGUCGUGUCUCUGGCAAAAUCAAUAAUUGAACCACAUGUUACCAAAGAGGAAGACAUAGUGGGUUGCUCAUUUCUGUUGAAUAUGUUGGAUGCUGUGAGUGGGGUUGAAGUGAUAGAGGAGCAGCUUAGAACAAGGAAGGAUUACCAAGAAGUUUCUAGCAUCAUGAAUGUGGGGAUGACAUAUAGCUUGUUGUAUAGUUCAGCAUUUGAGUGUGAAGAUCCUACGCAAAGGAGGGAGCUGCUACUAAGGAAGUUCAAAGAAAAACACACAGGUAAUCGGCUACACUUAUUUACAAUUUGCUAUGCUAUCAUCUUAAAGCUCCAAGCAGUGGAAAUGUGAAAAAGAGUAAUAUUAUUGAUGCAUGUACAUUUUUACAAUGAUAAGGAGUUCAUGGUUUUGUAUGUUGUUUUAUUGGAUUCAGGUGAAAUAGGCAAAUUUGACAAGGUGCAGUCUACCUUUUGGAGGGAAUGGAAAUUAAAAUUAGAAGACCAAAAGCGUGUUGCAGAUCGUUGUACAACAUUCGAGAAAAUAAUCCCUGGUGUUGACACGGUACGCUUUUAGUCUUAGGACUUUGAUUAUAUUAAGAGUGUUGUGCGUCCCUUGAUUGAUUCAGUCAAGUUAGAGAAUAAGCACAUUUUGAAGGAUGUUUUAACAUUAGCUGAUGAAUACCACUUGAACCGUUCACAGGUAGGCAGCUUUGUAGGCUUACAUCUCUGAAUUCUAUAACAUAGAGAUGGCUUUUUCCCCCAUUAAGUGAUAGUGAUCUAUUGUUUCCUUGCAGAUCUUUUUGUGUUAUUUGAGUUCUGUCAUUGUUUCUGAGGUUUGGACCAAUGAUGAUAUUACUUGUGAAAUUUCGGAAUUUAAAGGUGAAAUAGUUGGCUAUGCUGUGGAAACCAUCAAAGCUGUUUCAUAUAUUGUAUACCCUGCAAUUGAUGGAUGCCAUAAGGUGCGGCUUGCUUACAUCUUUGGUCUGCUUUCGGUGAGAUCAGACUCAGCCAUCGUAGUAGAGUCAUAAAUGGCAGUUUUGAUGCAGCAAGUUGUUACAUGUGCAGGCACCAACUUGCUUGCUAGAGCAACAAAAGGCAUGUUAUUGAUUCAAUAUAUUUUAAUUGUUUGUAACUGUAUGUUCAUGUAAGGAGUCGACUCAGAGGAACUGUAGUGCAGGAGUACUAUCGUAUUCGUGUAGCCUAAACAAGCUUGUGUUUUAGUCUAGUCAGUAAAUUAGUUAGAAUAGCAAAAUUUUGUCUGCUCAUAACAUUUAAAUUUACAUUCCCUCAGCUAAAACUUUUUGCUUCACUUUUGACAAUCCUUUGCUCCAAACGGUGUGUAUUUUGCUCGAGGUAUAUUCAUGAUCUCUUCCUUUUGCAUAUUGUUAUUGGUUUUCUUCAAACUAGUUGGAGCAAGCAAUUUACGUGCUCAAAUCCAAAUGUAGCAAUGAUCAAGGCUCGGCUAUCCAUUUGCCAUUGCGCCUCACACAUCAUUGUGGUCUUGGGAUUGAAUGCAAUCAAACCAAAGUUGAAUAAUUAAGAAAAGCAUUCUAAAACCCGUCAAUUGUUAGGAAAACACGUUUGUUAUAUUGAUGUUUGGAGCAAUACUACUCUUGAAUCAUGUAUGUUUCUUUCGUUGGCAAGAAAUUUGGUUUUGUUUUUAUUUUUUAUUGAGUCAUACUCUUAUCUAAUAUUAUUAAUUUUGAUAAUAUCUUUAAAUAAAAAGAAAUUAAAUUAGAAUAAUAAUUUAGUCUCAGUCCGAGCAAACACCAAACUGGUUACAAUACUAUUUUCAUUAUCAUGCUUCUUAAUCCGACACUGCACCAAACGCUUCACUAAGUUAGUCCAGCUUAGUCUAGUCUAAGCCAGUCCAGCUUAGUCCCUGAACCUAGUCCAGUCCGAGAUAGUCCGGUGCAACAAACGCACCCUUAAAGUUUAUAUGGAUUUAGCUUUGUCAACAAGUAUAGAUGAAAACUGCCUAUUGACAAAUUAAUAUUUAAUUAAAUGCGCGUUGCUUUUCGUUUAAACUAUCCAAUAUACAAUAAUUUCCCAAAUGUCAUGUUCAAUGGUCUCUUUCACAGUGGGACCUCGAAUUCAUGCAACGCGGCAUGAGAAAUAUUUCAAUGUGUGCAAAACAGAGACACAUACGUUAGAUGACACUGUAUAAGUUUAUGGACAUUUAGAAAAAAUUAUCUUUAAUUAUAUGAUAACAUAUGACAUACUAUCUUUUGUUCCGAACACAUUAAAAAAUCUUUCAUGCAAUCAAGGAUUUAAAUAUUAUUUGAUAUAUGAAUAAUAUAAUUACUUUCAAGUCUUGCCACACAAAAGCACACAAAGUAUCAUCACGCAUUAAAAAAAAGUUUGACAAUUUUGAAGAGAAUAAUAGCAUACAGUAACUCUAGUAUAGUUUGGAUCAAUCAUACGCCCCUCGGACCCAAUCCAAUUUGUGUGGCUCACCACCCACACAAAAGAAAAGGAUAUGAGACUAUAGUUGAGAGAUCAUGGACAGGAUGAACAAAAUUUGAAUGGCCAUGUGCUUUGUUCCACUACCAAAUGACAACCCACUGACAUAUUUAGGUUUGUUGUGAAAAUUAUUAAAAAUUGUUGAGAAAUUCAUAUACAAAUAGAAGAGAGAAUUGAGAAGAAGAAAAGAGUUGAAUUUCAUACUCAAUUCUAGUGUGUAAGAAUGAUACAAACGCUUUUUUAUAAGAGGUUUUUCAUCCAAUAGAAAAUUGUGGCAAAUUAUUUAUUUUACAGUCUACGAAUGAAUAGUGACUUUCCUGUUAAUGAACAGUAAAUCAUCCAAUUAUUCUUCCCAUGAGGUUUUUGUCUUUUUAUUUUUGAAUUUGGGACCUAUAUGGGCCAUCCAACCUUCACAACACGCCUCUUUUGAUGACCAUAUACCAAUGUGGAUUGCCUCAUUAAAAUCUUACUUGAAAAAACCCGGUGGAAAACAAUCAUAGCAAAAGAAAAAGAGAACAACUUUUUUUGGAUCAUUGAUAUUGAAUGCAUUUUUGUUGCCUCAUUAAAGUCUUGCUAGGAAAAAUCCUAGACGAAAGAAGAAGAGUACAACAAGCACGUGUCUUGGAUGCUCUCCCUGAUGAGUAUUUCCUCCUGAUUCAUGCAUUCUUCAAUUUGGCUAAUUACUAAGUCGACGUAAUCCGAUACCAUCAUCAACUUCUGAAAUGUAUAUUUCAGCAGAGAUUUGAUGAAUCGGUACACCACGUUAUCGUUGGAACGGAUUUGUCUUACUUCAAUAACUUUGUUCUUCUGAGCUCAUGUGUAAAGAAAAACUAUGGAGAUAUGAGUUCAAUCUUAUCGUCCUUUGAUGAAUCCUUGCUUCACUUGAGCAAUACAUGUAUUAUCUUCAUUAAUGAUAGUUGGAGCAUUUGUUUGUUUAAGAUAGACUACAUGAGUUUGGGUUGUGAUGGAUCACUAAUAUUAACCAAGAACAUUCACAACUAGCUUCAUGAAGAGCAAGUAUUCUGAAUGAUUAGAAGAUGUAGCAACUUGUGUUUGCUUCGGUUUGAGAACCAUGAGAUUGCUAUAUUUUCAUAAGUGAACACAUAUCUAGUUUCUGAAAGGGCUUUAUGCAAAUCAAAGAGAAAAUCAACAUCUGCAUAUCCAACAAGAUUUCAGCUAUCUGUGGGUUUCUCGAAAUAGAGUAGGCUCAUGUCUAUAGUCCCACAUAGCAUAUUUGAUUCUCUAUCAAUGUCGAAUUGUUGGAGCAUAGUUAUAUAUGCUACUAACAAAUUGACUAAAAGCUAUACAUUGUGUAAAGUAUAAUAAAACACAUAUUUCACUAAAAUAUGGUACUUCUGAACCAAGUAUCAAUUCAUCAUUUCCCUCACGAUGAUGAAUGAUCUUUCUUAGCAUCUAAAUAUUGGUUAACCCUUUGGGUGUUCAACUUAUAAUCUUCAAUCCACAUGGUUCUUUAAUACCAUAGUACUAUUGGUGGAUAAAUAUCGUGUUGGCAUAUUGUUCGAUCUACAACUAGAGACAAUAUGUCCUCAACACUUUAUAAUCUUUCUAGACUCUUUAGGAGUUCCAAUCUAAUAUCAUUAACUCUUGUAAAAGAUUUAAUAUGUUGCAACAAUAUCAUAAUGAUAGUAGGGGUGGGCAAACGGGUACAGGAACCGCGGUUCGGGGCAAGUAUGGGAUGGGUCCAAAAAUUAUAAAUACAAAAUGGGAUGGGUACAUGUAAAUAACGGGGCGGGCCGGUUCUAGAAAUUGGAAAAAAAGGGCCCUCGGCCCGAACCAUUGAUUUCCUACGUUGAUUUCCUACCGUUGAUUUCACCCUCUCUCUCUCUUAUUCUUGUCCGGGACUCCCAAGACUCCAUUCUAUUCUCAGACCCAAUUCACUCAACUCUCCCCUCUCUAGAUCUCUCCUCCUUGAAUCUCAUUUCCUCUCUCGCCGCCACCAUCGUCAUCAGACCUCUUUCUCUCAUCCUGAUUCGCUCUUGUCUUCCUCACUCCGUCCGCUACCAACAUCAUCAGGCCUCGAUCUCUGGCGACGCUUUGUUCGGAACUGAUUUCUGGUGACGUUUUGUGGUGCGCCGACGACAGGGUCAUCGAUGAGUUCAUGAUGGAACAGCCAAUCCCAUCGUACCUGUUCGCGUUCGCUGUCGACAAAGGGUUUGGGUGGUUCUUUCCGCUGGUGGCUCUGAAAAUGCUGAGGUACAUGAGCGCUACAUCAAUUAUCAUACACGACUGUGACGAGGUCUUCAACUAUUGGGAGCCUCUCCAUUUCCUUCUCUACAAAUCUGUUUUUCAAACUUGGGAAUACAAGUUCCCUUUUCAAUUCUCUUUCUUUUUCCUCUCUGAAAAAUUGAAACUUUGUUCUUUUUUUAGGUGUUUGUUUCUGGGUUUUGAUUGUUUGUUAUUUUCUGGGUUUUUUUUUUAUUUUGCUUGUUAUGAAAUUAUUUGUCUUUUUGGUUAUUUGAAGUUUAUUUUAUAUUAAAGAUGUUAAUAUAAUGCUAUGUUUGGUUAUAAUUUGUAGAGAACUAUUAAGCUCUGGAUUUAAUUUAUUGGGGAAGUUGGUUGUCGUUGAAAAGUUGAGUGCUUGUUAACGUACAAGAUUUUGUAGAGCAUUGCAGCUCAUGAACUAAUUGCAGCCUUCAGAUGAAACGAUGUGAUUUACUUCGUUACGGUAAUUUCCAAAAAAAAAAAACACACACACACACACACACAGAGGAUCCGUGUACCUGGCCCAUUUGAAAUAGGUUGGGUUAGGUCCAGUUCCAGUGAUCAGAUUUGCAAUACUUGGCCCAGCCCGUCUCGUUUCCUUUUUAAGCGAGUCUGGUUUGGUCCAUCCAAAUUUGGGUCGGGCCCAGCCCGUGCCCACCCCUAAAUUAUAGCACUCAUUAAGGCACUUUAUAUUAUCCAUGUUAUUGCUUUUGGAGAUAUGUUUCAAGUAUUUCAUAAGUUUUGUAUAAUAUAUAAUUCUCUAUUCAUACGAAAUGAACAUGUUUCACACUGGAAAAUCAUGUUUGUAGAAGUAUAUCACAAUUUCAGGUUUCAACUAAGAACCUUGUGUUAUAUCAUGUAAGUGUAUUUAAAUGGAUUACAAAUGCUUAUGUGUAACCUUUUGGGUUUGCUGAUGCACAAAACCUGAAGGGUUUUGGAACAACGUAAAUCCGACCGUGAAUCUGCAAGAAAGUAAAGAACACAAGAUGUAUCGUGGUUCACCCCCAAUGUUUGGGCUACGUCCACACUGAUGUUGAUAUUGUUUCACUCUGAAUGAUGAAUAUACAAGGAGCCUAGAGGCAGUGUGCUCUUUAGCCUAUUUUCUGUGUGCUCUCUUCCUAUGGCCUAAAACUUGGUUUCAAUCUUGGCCCUCCCUUAAUGAGGAGAGUGAAGAGUCCUUUUAUAGAAUAAGGGCUCCUCACUUAUUACAUAUUUUCCCCUUCAUUUAUGACAUAAUUACAUUUAAGUCCCCCGAGUAUUUAUACAAGGUCUAAAUACGGAGGCCCUAAGUAUGAUACAAAUAGUAGUCCCCCAAGUCUUCAGUCAAGAGAGUCUUUUGGCUGGAGACUUGAAAUUCAGUCUAUGUGUGGGCCGAAGUAACUAGAUGUCGUCUAGAACUGAUACUCGAUAUGAGGCGGUGCCCAAUGUGCAAUGAUGCUCAACUAGAAGUAGCACAUGUUGCGAGGCUGCUUGGCUGCUUGGCUUAUGUUGCAUUGUUUGGCUCGGCUUAUGGAGUUGAAGGUGAGGGAGUCCCUUUUAUAGAAUAAGGGCUCGCUCCUCAAUACAUAAGUGAUGGGUUAGGAGCAAGGUCUUAAAUGCCGAUAAUAUCGGCGAAAUAUCGCCAAUAUUAUCCGUUUUUCACGUUACCGAUAUUUUAAUAUGUAUCUAAUUAGUUUUCGUCAAAAUAUCACGAUAUUAUUGAUAAUAUGGAUAAUAUCAUGAUAUUAUCGAUAAUAUCGCGAUAUUAUCAAUAUUAUCGAUAAUAUCGCUCUCUCCGUCGUCGGAACGGCAGCCGAGCUCCGUCGUCGCAGCUGCCAAGAUCUGCGCCUCUCUCUGCCAAGAUCUGCGCCUCUCACAGGUGGUGAUGGUGCUCGUCGGAGUGUGCGCCACUGGGGUGGAGGUCACGGUGGGGUGGGUGUGGUGUGUCUCCCUUCCGCUCGCUCGCUCCAUGUCUGUUCUUUCUAUGGUGGUGAACGAAGGGCAGUGCAGCAGAUCAAACUAAUUUGAGCUUCACACUAACACGGAGAGAGAGAUCCGAAACUUACCUAACCGGAAAAUCAAAGAAGACUCGCCGGAAAGUUAUAGGCUCUGCCAUUCUCGUAGAGGCGGGAGAGAGAAGAUUGAUGAUGUGUUCCUCGAUCUGCUCGAGUCGAGCAGAUGGUGCUGCUGCGUGUGUGUGUGUGGUCACGGCAAGAGAGAGAGAGAGGUAAGAGGGUUUCGAGAGAGAGACAGUGCAGAGAAGAGAGAGAGAUAGUCGAAGUGAGUGAGAAGGAAAUGGGGUCUCGGGGUAGGGGAGAGACCCACGUAGUGGGUUCUUUGUAUUUUAAAAAGUUGUGGUCAUGUUUUAAUUAUGAAAACCCACGUAGUGGGUUCUUUAUAUUUUAAAAAGUUGUCCAAGUUUGAGAUCCACCCACACUACGUGGGUGUUUUAUAAUUUUAAAAGUUUGAGAUAUAUUUUAUAUAUAUAUAAAGGUUAUAUAAAUAUAAAUUAUGAAUUAUUUAGUUGAAAGGCAGGAGAAAACAAAAGCAAAAAAGGAAAAGGAAAAGAAAAUAAGAAAGAAAAAAAACACCAAGGGGAUUCAAAUCCCUCCCUUUGUCAACCAUACACCUAGACCUUAUCCAACUCGCUAUAGAUGUGUUUGUAAUUACAUAUUCAGCCUGUAAUAUUUAUAUGGUUGUUAAGAUAUCUGCAAGGCUUGCAAGCUAAUAUUUAUUAUCUAGGAAAAUUUUCUAUAUUUAAAAAAACACCAAGGGGAUUCGAACACCUCCCAUUUUACUCCUUCAACACCUUGACCACCAUAUCACUUAUGUUUUUGUGAAAAUAUGCUAAAAUACACUUACUCUACACAUAGAGAUGACGAAGAUAGUGAAAAUUUUGAACCUCAUAGGAACUCUAUGUGGUACUAAGUCACUCAUGUAUCUUACCAUGCAAAGUAUAAAGUGUAAAAUAUUGUACUAAUUCAUUAUAUAUAAAUGAUUAUGGUGUGUUUAAACUUCUUUCAUUAAUUACUACAUAUUUUCUACACUCACAAUGUUUGCCAGCUCGCUAUAUAAUCAACUUAAAUCAGUUAAAUCCAUCAUGCAAUGCAUUUCCUUCCAAUUUUUUGUGAUAAACUAAUAGAUAAUUGACUAAAUAAACAUCCUGCAAAGUUUCAAUAAAAAUUUCCAAGUUUUUCUUACAAUUUCCGUGGUUUCCAUACUAUUUUUAUCGAUAUCGAUAAUAUCCCGAUAUUUUCAUCGAUAUUUCCGUGUUUUUGGACUACCGAUAUUUCCGAUAUCAUCGAUAUUUAAUACCUUGGUUAGGAGUGAUGCUUGCGGCGAGGCGGUUGCUCAGCUGGCGGCGAUACUCUCUAAUGGAGGUGAGGAGGUCCCUUUUAUAAAAUAAGGGUUCACUCCUCAAUACAUAAGUGAGGGGUUAAGAGUCUCUCUCUAAUGAAGGUGAGGGAGUCUCUUUUAUAAAAUAAGGGUUCGCUCCUCAAUACAUGAAUAAUGAGUGCUCUCUAAUGAAAGUGAGGGAGUCCCUUUUAUAGAAUAAAGGUUCGCUUCUCAGUACAUAAAUAAUGGGCUAAGUCCCCCAAGUAUUUUUCAUGAGGCCCAGUUGUGGAAGCCCAAUAUAUGGUACAUAGUGCAGUACCCCAAGUCUUCAGUCAAUAGAGGCUGUUGGCUGGAGAUUUCAAAUUCAAUCCAUGUACGGGCCGAAGCGGCAGUUGUUCGGAGACGGUCUUUGUAUACCAUGCACUGAAGCUUUGUAGGUGAAGCUUUUAAAGUGAAGCUUUGAAGCUGGAGCUCUGUAACUGAAGCUUUCGAAGUUGAUUGACAUGAGUGAUGCUCAUGGAUGUUGACAUGAGUGAUGCUCAUGGAUGUUGACAUGAGUGAUGCUUAUGAAUGUUCACAUGACUGAUGGUCAUGAAUGUUUAUGUAUGAUUGACAUGACUGAUGGUCAUGAAUGUUUAUGUAUGAUUGACAUGAGUGAUGCUCAUGAAUGUUUAUGUAUGAUUGACAUGAGUGAUGCUCAUGAAUGUUUAGGUAUGACUGAGUGAUGCUCAUGUAUAAUUUUGGAGUACUGGACGUACUUUUGAUCACCUAAUGGGUGAUAAUAGCGGUAGGUUGCCGAAUAAUUUUGGAGUACUGGACGUACUUUUGAUCACUAGACGUACUUUUGAUCACCUGGUUGGUGAUAAUAGCGGCAGGGUGCUGAAUAAUUUUGGAGUACUAGACGGACUUUUGAUCACCUAGUGGUGAUAAUAGCGGCAGCCUGCCAAAUAAAUUUGGAGUACUAGACGUACUUUUGAUCACCUAGUUGGUGAUAAUAGCGGCAAGGUGCCGAAUAAUUUUGGAGUACUAGACGUACUUUUGAUCACCUAGUGGGUGAUAAUAGCGGCAGGUUGCUGAAUAAUUUUGGAAUGCCGGACGUACUUUUGAUCACCUGGUUGGUAAUGAUUGCGGCAGGCUGCCGAAUAAUUUUUUCUAGUACUGGACGUACUUUUGAUCACAUGGCUGGUGAUAAUAGAGGGCCUGGCUCUUUUUGGGCAUAUGGGUCUUCGCCCUCCACAUAACAUUCCAGCCCAUUAUUUUGGGCUUGCCGUUUUUUUUUAUUACCCUCUGAUGGGGUUAUACAGAUGUCUCCGAAAGAUAAGAAAAAUAAAUCACAUCAUUCAAAAAUAAAUAUGACCCUCUGCUCAAUGGGUCACGCCCAUAAUUCCCUUUUCUACAUGCCAUCACCACCGUAAUUAUGUCUGCUUCUUUUUAUCUUCUUUUGCUUUCUGCUUUUGCUUUAUGCUUUUGCUUUCUGUUUUUCUUUCUGCUUUCUGCUUGGGACAUGUUGCUUGAUGACAUGAUUAAGGGCAAUAUUCCUUUCUCUAAAGUGACAGCUGCUUGGACAGCCUUUUCGACACCACCCACUUGCUUUUCUUGAUCUCUUCGCUUCUUCUCUGUUUUUCUGCUGAGAAUCACUGGGUUGAGAUUCCAAGUUCGAGGGAUCCGAGUCGGGAGCCGACUGUGAUCUUCAAUAACUUCAUUGGCAUGCACGAGAGCGAACAAGAAUUCUCCAUGGCUGUGCCUAUCCAAGCUUCUGCACCACAGCAAAUGGUCCUCUAACAACCUUAACAAUCAUAACAAAAUACCUGAUGGGUCCUCUCGCCUACCUGUGUCGUUUAGAGCCAUGAACACAGCUUGCGGGGGCUUGGCGUGGAGGAAGAUAGGCGUAUAUUUGGUGACGUUCAAAGCGACGCUGAGUUAGCACUGCUCUGUGAAACUUAAACCGCUGCAUGCUGCUUUGAUCUUGGUCUUUGCCGGUGCGCAGAUUUUCAACCAGCUCUCUAUGAAGUCACUAGCAGUGGACCCAUCAUUGGGCAAAUAUGUAGUUAGAAUUUCGAGGGCCCACCAGUCAACGGUGAACUCAUGGCCCUCCCCGCGUACCACCUCGGGGGACACGUACUCUUCCAUUCCGACAAACGAGUUCGCGCGUUUGUCGUCCGAGAAACUCAGCUUCCGUCGACUCAUCGGGCUGACUUGGCCUUCUUCAACCCCUUCCUGCUACCGCCGUUCUUGUGAUUGUCGUUUAUAAUCGUGAUCCAACAUGUCAAGUUCCGCUGGUGUUUGCGAUGAAUCUUUGGGAUGUCGUUUUCCAGAAUGGAGUCGUUGGGCUUAGCGGUCAUGUGCUUAAGGCUAAUCGAGAGGUCGAAGUCUGUGAAUGUCACGUGGCCGGAUUACUGGAUGAGGACUGUAGUUCACAUCAAUGGCAUUUCUCCGCUCAGAAUCUCCAACAUGAGUGUUGGAUCUUGAUGUGCUUUUAGCGGUGGCGGUGGUUUUGGAUGAUGAGGUUUGGGAAUUGACGACAGAGAUGGCUGAGUUAGCUCGGUAAGAAAGGUACCCCAUAAGAGGAAAAUCGAGAUUUCAACUUUGUGUGUUCUCAGAACGCGGUUCAGAACCGUUAUGGGAUGGACCAAAAAGUCUUUUUCUUUUGAAAUACAGAGAGAGAGAUCUGGUUUUGAUGCAUGCUGAGAGAUCUUGAUCUUCAGAAAAGGAAAAAGAAUGAAGACUUUAAAAAAGAAAAAAGAGAAUCUUUGGGGCUCUUUUAUGAGCAGAGACCGAGAGAGAGAAAGAGAGAGGAGAUGACAUGGUGGCUUUGUGUUUGUGGGGGUUUUCUGGAAAAGCCCAAGGAGGUUUCGAGUUUCUGUAGAUUCAAGGUGGAGUGUGGUGAGGUCUCACGGUGGUGAGAUGAAAAAAUGAAAGAGAACCGAUAUAGCUUUUUGUGUCGAUUCCCACAGACGGCGCCAAAUGUUGAUGCACAAAACCGGAGGGUUCUUGGAACAACGUAAAUCCGACCGUGAAUCUGUAAAAAAGUAAAGAACACAAGAUGCAUCGUGGUUCACCCCAAUGUUUGGGUUACGUCCACACUGAUGUUGAUAUUGUUUCACUUUGAAUGAUGAAUAUACAAGGAGACUAAAGGCAGUGUGCUCUCUUCCCAUGGCCCAAGACUUGGCCUCAAUCUUGGCCCUCCCUUAAUGAGGAGAAUGAUGGGUCCUUUUAUAGAAUAAGGGCUUCUUACUUAUUACAUAUUUGCCCCUUCAUUUAUUACAUAAUUACAUUUGAGUCCCCGAGUAUUUAUACGAGGUCUAAAUACGGAGGCCUUAAGUAUGGUACAAACAGGGUUCAACAUCCUUUGGCUAUUUGUACUAUAUAUGGGUCCAUGUUUUCACAUUCUUACUUAAUUGUAAUGGAAUUGGCUCUCCAUUUUGCCAAUAAUGUUUCUUUUCGUUGACAAACAAAAGAACGCGACUCAAUAUAUAGUAGCUACUGUAAAACCAAAUUUUUCAUUGAUUAUCAUCAAUUUGUGAUCUAAUAAUUCUCAUGUGCAUGCACAUGCAUAGUUUCAAAGUUUUUCAUUUCUUUGGAUAUCUAUUGCCUCUUCAGAGGCAUUACACUAUUUCUUCUAUAGUUUAGAGAAUGCGGAUCAUAACCCCUUUUUAACUGUUAUAGAGCUUGAAUUUUUAAUCUCCACUUCUGGAGUUUGAGUUACUAGAACCUAUACAUCUAUCAUGCUUCAAGCAUGAAACAUACUAAAAAUUAUAUAGAAAUAGACGAAAGCAAGGAUGGAGCUAAUGUAGGCCUAGGGGCGGAUGCCCCCACUCAUUUAAAAAAAUGUAUAAUUGCGUUCCAAUUCUCAAUAAUCAGCCCUAAAUAAACUACAAUUAAAAAAAUUGGUAGGCAACUAAACUAGUCUACCACUUUGGAUCCCAAAUGCCCUACCUGAUGACAAUUUAAUUAACAAUUAAUUUAAUUGUGCCUCCCCGUUUUUGUAACCCUAGGUAUUUAAUCCACACAAAACUCAUCCCACCACGUACGGCAAAGCAAUUCCAGUCCUUAACUUCUCCAGAUUUUUCCUCCCCUUUCAUUCAACCAAAACUCAAUUGAAUUUGGAGUGUUAUAGACAGUUGGAGUUCAAGUAAUCAAUUAUCAAAAUUCAACACAAGAAUUUUACUCCACAAGGUAUUUUAUACGACUUUACUUCAUUAAUUUGUUUUUGGCAUUUCAAUUUAGAAUUUAGCUUUCUAAUUUAGAGAUCAAUAGAUGAAUGAUAACAUGAUUAUGUUUAUAUAAAGAGAUAUUUAAUGGUAUUGGUAAUGAUAUUGUUAUGCAACACUUUCAAAACAUGAAAACAAUUCAAGGAAUAAUGUAAUAUGUGUUGCGAGUUAUAUAUUAGUUAAAAUAUAAAUAGUAGUUUAUUGUCCCACAUUGGUGAAGUACAUAUGUAAUACCAAUUGUAACUCCUAUACUCCACUUUGGAGAUUAAUGAAUAUAUAAGAAAUUCCCAAAUAUUGUCAUAUAUAUUUUUGGUAUUUACCAUAUUUAGUUUAAUAUGGCAUCAGAGCAGUUCGCUCUUGGUGACCUGUGUGCUUUAAUUUUGUGCCCACAUUUUUUGUGAUUUCCUUCGUGAAAAAAAAAAAAAAAAGUGAAUAAUGGCGCGCUACAAUACAGAGCGUGAACAGUGGUCUGCUUUGUGAACAGUGGUCCUUUACAAUGCCGUAAACAGUGAUUGCUACAGUGCCGUGAAUAGUGCUCUGCUACAGUAUCUGGUAAAUUAUUUUCAUUCCGCUGCGUAUCUUUUGUGCCUUUAUUGUUCAUGAUUUUUGUUCAAUGGCUCAAUAUAAUCAUAGUGUUAUUAUGCAUCUUGGUGGAACAAAUAAAUGGAUAAUAGAUACUAAGACCACUGAUCAUGUGACUAGUGACCCUAGAGUGUUUGAUGAGUUAUGUGACUAUGUUCGUGAUCCGUAUAUUACUAGUGCAAAUGGAGCAAAUUCCCCUGUGAAGGGUGAAGGCACUAUCUCUCUUACUCUAACCUUAUCACUGGUCUGUGUUUUAUUUGUUCCUGAUGUUAAGUGCAAUCUUUUGUCGGUAGGAAAACUUCUUGAUACCUUAUAUUGUUCUGCUCACUUUUACCCUACGUAUUUUUAUUUUCAAGAUAUUCAAACUCAGAAGAUAAUUGGUCAUGGUAAAAGAAUAGGGGGUUUGUACAUCUUAACUAUAGAGGAUACUGUUGUUUCUGGUUCAAAUAAUCAUCAAGUUUUAAGUGCUAAAGUGGAUGACAGACAUCAAAUUUGGUUGUGGCAUCGAUAAUUAGGACAUCCAUCAUUAAGUUAUAUGAAACAUCUAUUUCUUUCUUUGUUUCACACUUGUAGUGAUUCAGAAUUCAAGUGUGAAACAUGUGUCAUGGCUAAGAGUCAUCGUGCUUCAUUUCCUGUAAGUGAUUCUAAAGCUACUUUGCCAUUUGAUUUGAUACAUUCUGAUGUGUGGGGUCCGGCGAAAGUUACUUCUAAUGGAUUCCGUUGGUUUGUUACUUUUAUUGAUGAUUGUACUCGGUUAACUUGGGUGUUCUUGAUGAAGAAUAAGAGUGAUGUUCCGUUACUUCUUCAAGAAUUUUGUACAAUGGUGUCUACUCAGUGUCAGACCAAAGUUAAGGUCUUCAGGUCUGAUAACGGAGGAGAAUAUGUGAAUCACACUUGGCAUGUUUUUUUCGUGAUCAUGGUAUUAUUCACCAAACGACUACUCCGUUUACACCCCAACAAAAUGGUGUGUCCGAACGGAAGAAUCGUCAAAUAAUAGAGGUUGCUCGCUUCUUGAUGUUGGAUAAAUGUGUUCCUAAUCAUUUGUGGGGUCAUGCUGUUUUGGCUGCUGUGUAUUUGAUCAAUCAUGUUCCAAGUAGGGUUCUUGAGUUUCAGACACCGUUCGAUAUGCUACAAAAACAUGUUUCUCUUGUUUCUGUAUCAAAGCUUCCUCCGAAAGUGUUUAAGUGUAUUGCGUAUGUGCAUGUCUACUCUCAUCAGCGGAGUAAACUUGAUGCAUGUGUUCUCCGGUGUGUCUUUAUUGGAUAUGCUAACAAUCAAAAAGGCUAUAAGUGUUAUCAUCCUCCGACUCAAAAAACUUAUAUUACCAUGGAUGUCACCUUCCAUAAGGAAGUUUCAUAUUUUGUGAAGCCUUUUUCCACCUAUCCAUUUCAGUGGGAGAGGGGGAGUGAAGUGCAGAUUCGAAGAGAUGGUAUGGAUGAUGUGUUACAUGCAGAGUUGGGAACAUAACCUAUUAUGUUGCGUGAUACUGAUCAGUCGGCUACAGAUAGUGAUCGGUCACCUGUUAUUCCUGGAACUAUUUCUACUAACGACAAAUCAGAUGUGCCCAGCGAGUUGCCUAUUAGUAUGUCUGACGAAUUACCUUCUGAUGAUCGGUUGCAUGCUGCUGAUAUGUCUGACGAAUUACCUUCUGAUGAUCGGUUGCCUGCUGCUGAUAUGUCUAACGAGUUGCCUAAUGAUGGUUCAUUCAGUGAUGAUUCUUCUAACAGUUUGGUACAAGAUGGUGGCAUACAUGAGGUAAAUUCUGACGAUUCUUCUACUUAUCAGUUGCCUCCACGAGCUAAUCGUGAAAAACCUAAAGUACAAUAUGAGCCUGAUAUGCAUGCCAAAGCCAAAUAUCCUAUCAAUAAUUAUAUGGCUACUCAUCGUUUGUCCAAACCAUAUGCAUCUUACAUAUGUCAGCUAUCUAGUGUAUCAAUUCCAACAAAAUUGCAAGAUACUUUGUCUGACCCUAAGUGGGUUAAUGCCAUGGAAGUUGAGAUGGAAGCUUUGGAAAAGAAUUCUACUUGGGAUUUGGUUGCUUUACCAAACGGGAAAAAAGCCAUUGGAUGUAGAUGGGUGUUUAUUACUAAGCACAAAGCAGAUAGUUCUAUUGACCGGUAUAAAGCCAGAUUAGUUGGGGUUAUACUCAAACCUAUGGGGUGGACUAUCAGGAGACUUUUGCUCCUGUUGCCAAACUUAAUAAUGUGCGUGUUCUUCUGUCCUUAGCAGUAAACCAGGAUUGGCUUCUGUUGCAGUUUGAUGUUAAGAAUGCUUUCCUUUAUGGUGAUCUUAAAGAUGAAGUGUAUAUGGAUUUUCCACCUGGUAUUGGAACAUCUCUUGGAAAAUGUGUUGUAUGCAGGUUACGAAAGGCCUUGUAUGGUUUGAAACAAUCUCCUAUAGCAUGGUUUGGGAGGUUUACAAGUUCAAUGAAGAAGUUUGGAUAUAUCCAGAGUCAUUCAGAUCCUACUUUGUUUCUAAAGCGACAAAAUGGUAAGCUAACUGCAUUGAUUAUUUAUGUUGAUGACAUGAUAGUGACUGGUGAUAAUCAGAAGGAGAUACAACGCCUUCAAAAGUACCUAGCUAUUGAGUUUGAGAUGAAAAAAUUGGGUGAACUGAAGUAUUUUCUUGGAAUCGAGGUUACACGAUCCAAGCAUGGUAUUUUUCUGUCUCAACGGAAAUAUGUUCUUGAUUUAUUAGCUGAAACAAGUAUGUUAGAUUGCAAACCUGUUGAUACUCCGAUUGAGCAGAAUCAUCGUCUGGGCUUAUUUCUAGAUCAAGUUCCUACUCAUAAGGAACGGUAUAAGAGGCUUGUAGGGAGAUUAAUUUAUUUGUCUCACACUCGCCCUGACAUUGCUUAUGUAGUUAGUGUGGUAACUUAGUUUAUGCACUCACCUAGUGAAGCUUAUAUGGAUGCAGUAACCCGUAUUUUGAGAUACUUGAAAAUGGCUCUUGUCAGAGGCCUGGUUUUUUUCAAGAAUGGUCAUUUGAAUGUCGAAGGGUAUACAGAUGCAGAUUGGGCAGGUUCUAUCACUGAUCGGCGAUCUACAUCUGGAUACUUUACGUUUGUGGGUGGCAAUUUAGUUACUUGGAGAAGCAAGAAACAAAAAGUGGUGGCUAGGUCAAGUGCAGAAGCUGAGUUUCGUGGUAUGUCUCAUGGUGUAUGUGAGUUGUUGUGGUUGAAAAAAAUUGUUGAGAGAUCUUGGGUUUAAUAGUGUGUUUUCCAACUCGCUUGACAAGUUGGGCAUGCGUGACAUCUUUGCACCAACUUGAGGGGGAGUGUUGCAAGUUAUAUAUUAGUUAAAGUGUAAAUAGUAGUUUAUUAUCCCACAUUGGUGAAGUACAUAUGUAAUACCAAUUGUAACUCCUAUAUAUACUCCACUUUGAAGAUUAAUGAAUAUAUAAGAAAUUCCCAAAUAUUGUCAUAUAUAUUUUUGGUAUUUACCAUGUUUAGUUUAAUAUUGGUAUUUACCAUGUUUAGCUUAAUAAUAUGUUGUAUGAAAAACUUUAUAAAUUAAUGUAUUAGUGUUUUGUUCAAUAAAUUCUUGAGAUUUUUAAUUGUGACUUUAUUGUUUGAGGAUGCUCCCGCUCAUAUAAAUCUCUAACUUCAUCCUUGAAAGAGAGAAUUGAGAAGUAGAAAAGAGUUGAAUUUCAAAAUCAAUUGUGGUGUAUAAGAAUGGUACAAACGCUUCUUUAUAAGAAGUUUGCCAGAAACUGUAGCAAACUAUUUAUUUUACAGUCUUCAAAAUGAAUAUUGACUUUCCUAUGGAUGAACAGUGAGUAAUCCAAUUUUUAUUCCGAUGAAGAAUGAGAUUUUUGUCUUCUUUAAAUUUAGGACAUGUACGGGGCCAUCCAACCUUUACACCAAGUCACCUUUUUACGUCACUCUCAAAUAUUGUAGCGUUACUUUUUUAUUGCAAACUAUCAUCUGAUACAUUUACCUAAAAAAAACAGUUUUUAAGUAUGUCAUAUUUUAUAAAUAACCAUUAGCAGUUUAGGAAGAGUGACUCUUCAAAGAAUAACAUAUAACUUAUUUAUAAGACACGUUUUGAAGUAAGGGAGGUGUGGAAUCAGAAUGAUUCGAAAUUUAUCACAUUAAUAGGCAUGAUAAUAUACAAGAAAGAUAGUGAUCUCAGUGAUCUCAGUGCUUGUUGUCCAGGAUUAGGUUACAAGGAAAGUUCAGCAACACCUUUUUAAUUUAUAGCAAAAUCUGAAACCCGGAAUCACAUUAAUUUAAUACAUAAGAAGAAAAAUGAAACUAAUCAAGCUGAGCAUACCAAACUCCCUGGAUUUUGACAUCCUUUGGAGUCUUGGCUCCCAAGUCAGUGUCAGACGGCUGAAUGCUCUCAAACACCCCAAUCAACUCACCAUUCUCAGGCUUGCUCUUUGUCACACUCAGUGUGAUCUUCCCUGUUGAUGCUGCUGUAUUCUUGGUGUUCUCCUUUGCCAACUCCUCCUCGUCUCCUCUGCCACCUGCCGGCAACGCAACCGCAUUGUCGUAACCGGUAGAUCCUCCUCUUCCCUUGGGGUCCAAGAAAGAGGAUCCGCGGUAUGAUGGUACUAGAAACUCUCCUGUGAAGUUGUCAGGCUUGCCAGAGGCUACGAGCUGCUUGAUGGUAAAGAGGAAGGGCACGCGCUCACCUCCCGGGAGCUGGACUGUCACUGCAGCGUAGUCAAUUCCGUCUUUCUCUUCAAACUUGACGGUGCCAUCUGGGGCAACUUCGAAAGGUCCUUCGAUCUCAUCGAGAGUGUAGGUUAGGCGGGUCAUGAGCUUGGUGUUUUGGAACUCUGGUGGAGCAUUCUUGCUCACACUCUCUGCCUUGACUGUGAAGGAUGUUGGCUCUAGGCAGAACUUCUUGGCAGUGUACUUGCCAGGCUUGAAAGCGAAUGCUUCGGUUCCUCCAUCGAUGGUUGGGCACUGGUUGGCAGUUCCGGUUCCCUUCACUUCCAAGUAGGUCUUGCUCUGGAUUUCGUCGAAGGUCAGCCUCUUUGGAGAUCCCUCUGCACCUGCUCCCUGAAAACACAAAUGGUGGCCAACAAUGACCAAAUUUCAAUCGCAAUUCAUCCCCAAAAAUGAAAUCCAACUAUCACUGGCAUAUGUUGUUGUCAGACUGUCAAUCCAAAAUGAACUAAUGAGAUUUAUAUCCAUACUAUAUGAAAUCAAAUGAUGCUACAUUAUAUUGUUAGAUUCUCAAUCCCAAUUAUCAGAUGAGCGUACGUCCAUAUGAUAUGCUAUUAUGAUUGUUAUCCUAACAACAUAACAUAUCAAAUAUCCGAAAUAGAGAACAUUACUCUCGUCUGUUGGGACGAUCCAGUUCUACAAAUUAAUGGAGAACAUGUGGAUAUUGCUAUAUAAUUGCACAUACAACUAGUCCAACUAAUGUUUACCCCCUAACUAUAGUCCAUAAGUAACUAGCAAGUACUACUUAACAUACAUUCACAAAAGGUCAAAUGCAAACAACUAAUCAUUGUUCAUCUUCUGCACCGAAAUUUCAAUCACAUGAAGCAAAAAACUGAGGAAUGAAAUGGAAUUAGC
Molecule: long non-coding RNA, 45328 nt
Filed under: Malus domestica (apple)
Lineage: Eukaryota; Viridiplantae; Streptophyta; Magnoliopsida; Rosales; Rosaceae
Description: long non-coding RNA (MDOM_LNC014944)
Source: RNAcentral